CAUCUUCUGUUGCUGCUGCUUUCUGACGCACUUUCUUAUGCAUCAUCAGGGUUAAUGUACUUAACCAACCAUGGAGAUAAGCACAUUGAAUUAUGCGGCCGGCGGUCACCCAUUUCAGUUGUCCUCCACUUCAACGCCACCAACUAUAACUGCCAAACACCACCUCCUCCUCAGCCCUGACACUCCUCCUCCUUCCUCUACUCUUUCAAACUUCUUUCUUCUCCCCGUGAGCCGCCCUUUUUCUCCAUUUUCUUGCUUCACUUACAUGUCUAAGCUCUCCUGCCAUAAAAAAUCCCAAAGGACCCCCAUUUUAGCUUCCUCUUCUUCUUCUUCUGAUUCUACUAGUAAUGAUAACCCUCUCGACCACUCCGCUUCCGAUGCUGCUGCUGGCUUCUCUUGGCUCCAUCUUUCUCGCCGCUUCUUUACAAAUUUCAAGCAACAAACCGGUAUUGAAUUUCAACAUGACGCUAUUGCUACACUGGCUCAGCUCGCUGCUCCACUUCGUCGCUCCGUCCAGUUGCCCCACUCUGCGCUGGAAAGGUUUAGGUCCCACUUACUUCCCGAUUUCGUCAACUGGAAUAAUUGGAUCGCUGGAAGGUAAUUUUAAACAAUACACACAACUCUGUGUAUUUCCGUUUAUGCAAUUCAAUUUUUUUUCGGAGUUGUGAAAUAAUAAUAAUAAAUGCAUGGGUUGAUUCUGUUGCUCUGCAUACUUGGCACCAUUGAAUUAUUAGCAUCAUUUUUUUUUCUUUUGGGUUUUUUUAAAAGUUCUUGAUUGAUGGCCCCUCUCAGUGUGAAUCUCAACUAAGGUAAUGUGCUUGUUUUCUUGUUUGGGUUUUCAGGACGUAAAGAAUUGGGAAGCCAAGUGAAUUGGUGUUCUAAUUCUUUAUGCACUUGUUAUGGUGGUUUCUUCUUGAGGAAUUUACAAGGCAAUUCAAGCACCUCUUAUUGAUCGAGAAAGAAGAGAGCUGGCUGAGGCAUAUAUGGAGACUCUCAUUCCUGAGCCUACUCCCACAAAUGUCAGAAAGUGUGUGCGACUUUUCCUAUCUCACCUGAUUUUAGUUUGGAAGAGUACGAUUUCAGCUCUCACCGAGGAGCACAUGACUUGAACAGUUACUAUGACACGAAUCUUCUGCAUAUUUACUUUUAUAUACAUGUUCCAAUGUUACCUGAUGACAUACUUAUGACUUCCUUGAUAAUGUUUGUCAUUUGACUGUCUCAAUACCCGCCGCCAUGAUUUUUUUCUUUUAUUUUUUAAAGUGCCUUUUGAUUGCACUCGUUAUCUCAGAUGUUUCUUCUUUAAUGCAGGUUCAAAAAGGGUUUGUGGAGGAAGACAACUCCAAAGGGCCUAAAACUCAAAAAGUUUAUUGAAGGACCUGAUGGAACGCUUGUUCAUGAUAGUUCUUUUGUUGGGGAAGAUGCAUAUGAUGAUGAUGAUCAUCCCUGGGAGAGUGUAAAAGAAAUUAUAGACCAAGAUGUGAAAUUGAACAAAGAAGAGAAGAAGGUUUUGGAAGAAGAUUUAACAAUUUUGGGUGAGUUUGCAAGUCUGUUUUUCUUCCCUCAAGUUAGUGGGCAUGCUCCUUUUACAGACACCCGUUAAAAUAAGAAAAGGGAAAAAGAUUAAUGUUUUUAAAUCUUCAUUUAACAAGGUUCCUGGGUACAUUAAUUUUUGGCUUGAUGCAUGCUUUUUUUUUUUAAUUGUUUUUAUUAAGGACCUGGGACUGGAUAUUGAGUUGUUUUCUAUGUUUUAAGUUAAUUAAAUUUUAGCUGAUUUGGUAAUUUAACGUCCUAUGUAGAGUUAGUUUAUAGAAAACAUAAGGAUGGAAUGUUUUAUCAGCAAAUAUUUUUUGUACAAUGUUUCCAUUAUGUCCUGGUGGAAUUCCCGGCUUUAACUAUUUUCUUUGACCAGUUGUUUACAUGUGAUUAUGUUGUAAGUAAAAUUAAUGGACUUCAACUGACCAGUGAAGAUGCAAGAAGAAACAAGUGUGGAAAUGCUGUUGUUUGGUUUGUUAUGUCUCUUUUACAUACCCGAAGGACUAAACAAAAUCAGCAUUACUUUGGUAAAAAUUGGAGCAGCAAACUUGGAUUUGGCAUGAAUCUGAUUUUUUUUUUUUUGUGAGUAGUACAAAGUGGAAAUUUGAUGGGGGUCAAGAUGCUGUUAGGUGCCAGCUGCCGCCUUAAGUGCCCCACGAUCUGCGUGAUGGCCUGUUAAUGUGGUUAAAUAGCUUUUUUAACAACCUUCUUUUGUAGGAGAAAAUCAGGAGAGUCGAGGAACUUGGCGUGAAAGGCUUCAAGCAUGGAAUGAAAUCCUUCAGAAGGAUAAGUUAGCUGAACAAUUACAUUCAUUGAAUGCCAGAUAUGUAGUCGAGUUCGAUAUGAAAGAAGUUGAGAAUAGCCUGUGCAAAGAUGUUCUUGAAAAGGUCAAGAACAACCACGGAAACCGAGCGCUGUGGAUUUCUAAAAGAUGGUGGCGCUACCGCCCUAAACUUCCUUACAUGUAUUUUCUUCAAAAACUUGAUUCUUCUGAGGUAAUGAUUCUAGUAGUUCAUCCUUCUGUGUCUGUCUUCAUCUUGCCAUUUAGGAAAUUGGCGAAUCUUUCCUCACGCAUUUCCGCACUGAUGAGGGAGAGAACUUGUAAAGUUCACAGACAUGAAAAGAUACUUGGUAAAAAAAAUGAUGCAGAUGGAGCAAUGUGAUUUAUGUCAUGCUUGUGUAUGCAUAAAACUUGAACUGUGCAACGCUUUCUUGACUGGUUGGCUUCCAUUAGUGGGAGUGUGAGAUGUUAGAUUUCAUUGAUGAACUCCAGUGGGAGUGUGAGAUGUUAGAUAUCUUUGAUAUCCCUUUUUUGAUGCUAGGUGCAAUAAAUUGUUGGGGUCAACUGUAGAAAUCAGGCUAUGAUUUGUGUUUGAUUUUUGCAUGUCGCUGCUAUUGUUUUCGCAGAAGACCUGAAAAGGUUGUAUGUGACAAUGAGAGAAGGGUUCCCAAUGGAGUAUAUUGUGAGCUUUGUAGCUCUUGGUUAUGGUUCAGCUGAAAUUGUAUUCUUUUUCAUUUGAAAUUGCUUAUUGAUGCAUUGUACUUUCUCAGGUAGAUAUUCCACUUGAUCCUUAUUUGUUUGAGAUGAUAUCAAGUUCUGGAGCUGAAGUUGAUCUCCUCCAAAAGCGGCAGAUUCAUUACUUUCUUAAAGUUGUCUUUGCUUUGCUGCCUGGCAUACUGAUAUUGUGGUUCAUAAGAGAAUCUCUGAUGCUUCUUCACAUCACUUCAAGACGUUUCCUUUAUAAGAAGUACAAUCAACUCUUCGACAUGGCUUAUGCUGAAAAUUUCAUUUUGGUAAAUUUUAUUUUCUCUAAAUUUGUAGUUUCCUCGUCGUCUUGAGUUUAUUUUUGAUCUCUUAUUCUGCCACUUUCUCAGCCAGUAGGGGAAGUUGGGGAAACAAAGUCUAUGUACAAAGAAGUAGUACUGGGAGGAGAUGUCUGGGAUCUACUAGAUGAGUUGAUGAUAUACAUGGGAAAUCCCAUGCAUUAUUAUGAAAAAGAAGUGAAGUUUGUGCGGGUGAGCUUCAUAUGUUGAUAACUAAACAGUGGAUAAAAUAUGCCAAGAAUUAAAGAGUUGUAAUUUUUUCGUGUCAUAUUAUCUGCUUUACAGGGUGUGCUUCUCUCUGGACCUCCUGGAACAGGCAAAACACUUUUUGUCUGAACUCUUGCAAAGGAAAGUGGGUUGCCUUUCGUUUUUGCUUCUGGUGCAGAGUUUACAGACAGUGAAAAAAGUGGUGCUGCAAGAACAAAUGAAAUGUUUUCUAUUGCUAGGAGAAAUGUAAGUCUGGCCAGUUUGAAAACCACGUUCGAUAUCUUAUAAUGUAAAUCGUGAUGUAGGCUUGUGGUUAAGCUUCUUUUUUCCUUGUGUUAGAACAAAAGUUUGAUUCAGACCAUCUCCAUUCUCCUCUCCUCUUCAUUCCUUUCUCCCACCCUCUGCUUCUGAAACAUCUUGAUACAAAGACUACUGUGUCUCCUAAAUUUCCCUUUUGCGUGUUUGAUGUUUCCAUGCUUUAUGUUUAACAGUUCCCCAUUAUUUUUCUGUUGAUCAUGUUCUUAUACAUGAAAUUUACUAAAGAUCAUCAGGCAAGAAUUCUCUGCCUUUGGAGCUUUUGGAAAAACACAUUCUGAUUUUCAUUAGUUUUGUUUUAGGAUUUUUUGUGUUUAAAAUUUUUCCCCCCAAAAAACCUUUGAUGCCUUUGUGCUAUGUCUAGGAAGAACAAAAUUUAAUCUUCCUUCUUUAUGCAGGCUCCUGCUGUUGUUUUUGUUGAUGAGAUUGAUGCUAUUGCUGGGAGGCAUGCCCGAAAGGAUCCACGAAGAAGAGCAACAUUUGAAGCUCUUAUUGCUCAGCUUGAUGGAGAGUUAGUGUCUUCCUUAUGCCACGACUAUAUUGCUUCUGCGUAUCUAAGUAUUGAUCUGGCAGGUUUAUCUUUUUAAGAUUUAGGAUGUUAUUUCCCAGAAUCCCCAAAAUUUUGACCACAGCACUUUGUUUGCUUGAGAUUCAGUUUUUGUGAAUCCAGGAGGAAUUGUCCACAUACAAGUGAUUGUGAGGGAAAUUCAUAGUGAUGAUUCGAUGUGUGUGGUGUUUCAUGUUGUUCCAUCUUGGUCUCCUAGUGAAGGAUGUUUAGUAGCAUGGUAAACUUUUUAAAUCUAUAGGGUUGUGUGCUCAAUCAGAAUUCAACUGUAAGAGAGAGUUCCUGUUUUUGUUACAAAGAUCAUAUUACAAGACUGUAUGUGAUGUAAGACUUAAAACGACAGACUUGCUAAACUGAAUAAUAUUUAUGCUGCUUUCAUGUGAUUAAUAGAUGGUGAAUGUUUAUGCAUUUUGAUGUAUUGUUGCCAUGCACUAGGGAAGAAAUAGUGGAGCUAGUUAUGGCUUCUCUAUUUAUUAGUAGUUUCAAGUUAGAAUUUCUGACUAUUUCAUAACUUCACUAAAAUUAGUGUUUCCACAUUGCAUAUUGUUGUACUUCUGAUUGGAUGUUUAUCAAUCAUGGGAACAUGUUGUAAUGGAAUAAAGAUUGGCAAGGAGAAGGAAGGGGUGGGAGUAGAAAGAGAGAGAUGGAUGUAGGGAUAGAGUCAAUUUCACAAUUUUAUAAUUGUCCAUAUUGAAAUUUGCAGCUGCUGUUUAGUAAUUUCAAGUUUAAUAUUACCACUUACAAAGGGAAGUCUGUUGUUCCCAGGAAAGAAAGAAUAGGUGUUGACAGGUUCUCAUUGAGGCAAGCUGUCAAAUUCAUCUGUGCUACUAAUAGGCCAGAUGAAUUGGACCUAGAAUUUGUUCGGCCUGGACGUAUUGACCGUCGUUUAUAUAUUGGAUUACCUGAUGCAAAGCAACGUGUACAAAUUUUUGGUGUGCAUAGUGCUGGUAAACGACUUGCAGAGGAUGUUGAUUUUGAGAAGGUAUAAUGUGUCUAAUUGCUGAACUCUUGUAUCACUCCACUGAUUUUACAACUCCUCCGAGGUAUCAUAUGGAGGGUUUUUUUCAAUCUCUUUCUAUGCAGGUCGUGGUCCCCUUCCAUUUAAUGUAUCAGUGGGAGGAGAGUCUUGUUUUCUUUUGUCUGCUACUAUUUAAUUAAGAAUUUACUCUCCCGCCCUCUCUCUCUGUUAAAUAUUUUACCUCCAUGGGGCUUUGGAGUAAAGGGGCUUCUGACUAAAAGGUCUGGAGAAUGGUUUACUUAUGACAAUCUUGUCUCUUUACUUGUACAGCUUGUAUUUCGUACUGUUGGAUAUUCAGGAGCGGAUAUUAGAAACCUAGUGAAUGAAGCUGGAAUAAUGCCGGUAAGUUAGUCAUCUCUGUGCUUUACAAGCUAUAUUUCUGAUCUACUGUGUACAUAUUCUGGUGACCUCUGUUUUAAUGGAUGGAAUGGAAUAAUGAACAUGGAAAUGUUUUAUUGUUCAAGAGAAAGCUUUCAGAAUUAAAAAAGUUUUUAUCACCAUGUUUUGUGGAUUACUUGUUGGCAGAUCUCUUAUCCUUUUGCAUUUGAAUUCUUAAAUCCUGAUUAUUGAGAUUAAGGCUUAAUCCUCUGAUAUUAUUUGUGUAAUGGAUAAAUUAAAUAACUUGAGUUUCAAAAUGUACAGCCUUCCUAAACUGCAGCUGAUGUUUAAAAGUCUAUCUCAAGAUAUAUAUUUGGUUAAACAUGAGAACUUAAGAUGCAACUCAGAUAUAAUAUUUACUUCCCAACCCUCCCUCCCUUUUUUGUGAGCUCAACGUAUUAAAUCCAUGCAGAAAGAUCUUCAAGAUGUUGAGGCUUUCUCAACAGUUGGAACUUUUCAUGACCUUUGGCUCUAGAUAUGAUUGUUGUCUUCUAUUUCACUUGUAUUGUAUACAUACAGAUGAUGAACAAAAUACUCUUAACAGGCUUUUUCACUACUUGUACAGGUGAGAAAAGGGCAUACUAAGAUCUACCAGCAAGACAUUGUAGAUGUAUUGGACAAGCAACUGCUUGAGGGUAUGGGUGUGCUUCUCACGGAGGAAGAGCAGCAGAAGUGUGAACAAAAUGUAAGCAUGUUAUUCAUGCAAACUAAUAAGAGUAUCGCUGCAAACAUUUUAAGAUCCUUCUAGAUGUUCUUUUCAUCACAUGUUUAAUGCGUUCACGUAAUAGGUGUCUUUUGAAAAGAAAAGACUUCUGGCAGUACAUGAAGCUGGACACAUAGUCUUGGCACACUUGUUCCCUCGUUUUGAUUGGCAUGCAUUUUCUCAACUUCUACCUGGUGGCAAGUUACAGCUCCUGUUGUGAACAUUUGUAGCGCUUAAUCUUGCCCGAGUUGUCUCCAACACUGUUCCUUGUUCUAUUGAAAAGGAAACUGCUAUAUCUGUGUUUUAUCCUCGAGAAGAUAUGGUUGAUCAAGGUUAUACAACCUUUGGCUACAUGAAAAUGCAAAUGGUAGUUGCUCAUGGUGGGCGAUGUGCUGAAUGUAUUGUAUUUGGGGAUGAUAUUACUGAUGGUGGACAAGAUGAUCUGGAGAAGAUUACAAAGGUAAGUAAAUAGUUUCAGAUCUAUUUCUGAAAGCAGAUAAGAAGCUGCUUCACUGAUGGGCGAGUUUUUAAGUAUCUGGGUUGGAGUUAAAUGGGGACCUAUCUCUUCAGCUUGGUAAUAAUUUCCAUUUUCCCUUUAGAUUGCUCGAGAAAUGGUGAUAAGCCCUGGAAAUCCUAGGUUGGGGCUUACAGCUUUGACAAGAAGACUUGGACUGGUUGAGAGACCAGAUAAUCCUGACCGUGAGCUUAUUACAUAUAAGGUAGUUUUUUUUUUCAGAAUUUUAAGCUUCAUUGUAGGAAUUCCUUUUGCUUAAGCAUGAUCACAUCCUUAAUUUUUCUGAGCAACUAAUUAUGCUGCUUCAACUUGUUAUGGUGAUAUAGUGGGACGAUCCUCAUGUUAUUCCUGCUGAUAUGACAGUUGAAGUUUCUGAACUAUUUACCAGGGAGUUGGCAAGAGUAAGUGAAGUAUCCCUUUGUGAUUGUUUCAUGUUUCUUGGAGGACAUAGCCCUUUGUGAUGGUUUCAUGUUUCUUGAAGGACAUAUCCCUUUGUUAUGGUCUCAUGUUUCUUGAAAGACAUCCUGAAUCUUUUUGCACCCAAAUGUGGUUAUUGCUUUGCUCAUAUAAAGGUUAUUCUGGUUUGAGAUAAGUGAAGAAUAUAAUUCAGUUACUUCUCACAUCCAAACCACUUUAGAUUUAUAGACCUUGGCAGGUGGAAGAUAUGGAAGUCUUGAACAUCCUUGUCUGCUACUAAAAUCAAACAUGUUUCCAGGACUAUUAAGGAAAGGAAAGUCGAGUUCAAGUUUGUGUUAUUGUUACUACCUUCAGCUUUCUUUUAAGCUAAACUUUUCCAGAUAUGAAGAAACUAUGUAACCACAAAAGGAUAACUUUAUGAGAAUAAUUUUCAUGACUAGAUAUUUUUUCUGUUCAUAGCAAAAUGAGAGUGAAACCCAUAACAUCACUAAGGUGAAAUAAUUUUAUAGAUUUACUUUGUGGAAUCAGAUUAUACUGCCGAGCAAAACAGAUAUGAGGAGGAGGGUCUCCAAUGCACUUUCUUCUCUAUAUAUUGCAUAUCUGCAAAUUCAGUGAAAACUAUAAUUGCUUAUGUUGCAGUACAUUGAAGAAACAGAAGAAUUUGCAAUGAAGAAAUUAAUGGAGAACAGGCACAUACUAGACAUGAUUGCAAAGGUACUUCUUGAACACUCAAGGAUAACUGGAUUGGUGAGUCAUUAUUUACGUUUCAUUCUUCUCGUCUGUGGCUUUGAGACAUAUAACAAAUAUUAUCCUUAUUGGCUAAUUUUUCGUUCUUUUUGUCUCUCCCAUUUGUGUUAUUCUGAUGAAUAAAUACGUUUGGAGCUGCAUGAAUAGAUCAUUUACUUUAUAAGAGUCUGAUUAACUGCCUCAUGCAUUCAUGAUUUAAUAUAAGUCCUCUUGCAGGAAGCUUCUUUGUCAACAUGUACUCUUGGUAUUGCUUAAAAGAUACUGUCUUGCAGUCUGUGCAUAGAUCUAUGUAUUUAUGUAUGAACGUAUGUAUGUAUAAAUGUCGAAUAAUAGCUUUUGUUUAGAAAAGGAUUUAUAUUAAUGUUUCCCAGAUUUUUUUCCGUUUCCUUCUUGACUAUUGCAUUGGGCUAGUCAGCGUACUAUACCCCCAAGAAAGAACAAUAUCAUAUAACAAAAUAAGUUUGACCAGACCUAGCAAAGGUUUUCUAGGAAAGUCAGCUAUGUAUACACCUCUGCAACUACAUCAACUUGCUUUUCUGGAUGGAAGUUUAUAAGAAGAUAUUCCCUGCAGGAAGUCUUGAUGUUAACUAUUUUGAUGUUAACUGUCUAUAUGGUGAUUUUUCUUUGCGGUGCUUUGUGAUAAUUAAGUAGUGCUUAAUUAUUGUGUUCUUUCUGAUUUGCUCAAUGAUGGAUUCUUGUUUGACCUAAACCUUCUGUGUCUAGAUUUGCAAUGGGAUAAGGUAUUUUCAAGUAUUUGUUUACCACUUUUUGUUAGUGAAAAACUAAGAAGGAUUUGGGAUUGUGGUGUUAGCUUUUUUGGUGCUUUCUGUUUCUGUUCUCAGGAAGUUGAGGAAAAGAUGAGAGGACAAUCGCCACGUAUGUUUGAAGAUUUUGUGAAGCCUUUCCAAAUAAAUUUGGCUGAGGUAGUAUUCCUUUCUGUAUUUCCUUGUUAUAUUGACAAAGCCAAUAGUACUAUGUGAAGCUUUAGUCACUGAAGCGUCUGUUAUCUUUGUGAUAUAUAUUAUGAUAAUAUUAUAGCUCAGGAAAAUGCAUUUGAUCUUCUAAAACGCGGCUCUGUUUCUCGGUCUCUCUGGCUCUGAUUUGUGUCUUUUAUUGAAAUGUCACAUCAAUGCCCAAAGAUAUAACCAGUUGAACAAUCUUUAUUCAUCUCCAUCCAAUCUUUUGUUGUGCAAUGUAGCUUUGGUGAUUGAGUGCAAAGAAACUUGUUGACUUGGAAUGUCCUGCACUUUUGUUACCAUGGAGAAUGUUUUCUAGAUAAAUUAUUUUUGGAAAUUGAUUCAGCAGCUUUUCAUUGUGGUGACAAAACUACAAAAUUGUUUUGCAUUAGUUGAUGUACUUGAUAUCUUUGGUUUGUGGUUUUUUUUUUAUUUUAAAUUGAAGUCUCGUGUUCCUGAUUACUAUAAAGCUAUUUUUUCUUCCUGUUAGGCAAAGGUGUAGCCUGUACGUGUGUUAAGUGAGAUCCUUGUGAUUUGUGAGAGCAGCAUAUAUUGCUGGUGUUUUAUGUCUGCAUUCUUUCUGCCUAGAUAUAGAUACUGUUUGUACGUGUUUAUUUGGGUCUACUGUACAUCCUUUCUUGCCAUGUUUUUUAGUGUCAGCUAAAGUACAUCACUAGUCCAGCUCUCAAGUCAUAGAAGGCUGUUAUUUAGUUAAAGGCUAAAUUGUUAUUUUGAACUGUGAGAGUACCAUUUAUCCUUAACUUCGUUUUCAAAAUUUCCAUACCAUUGGCCUUCUGAUUUCUCUAAAGUGCAAAGUGAUACAGUGUUUGAAGGAUGAAUUUGCUAUUCUGACAGCCUUGUACUAGUACACAUUCCGCAUAUUUUUCUUAGUGAUAAGGGCUUUUCAUUUUAACGUUAGAUUAUCAUGUGUAAUUUUUUAAAUCCUUUAUGUUGAAUUCUGCCAGGAUGGACCAUUGCCUCACAAUGACCAUGUGCGUUAUCAACCGCUGGACAUCUAUCCUGCACCACUUCACAGAUGCUAGGUAGGGGUUCAUCCUCCCAAAUGUGAUUGGUUGGGAUUCAUAGCAUAAAUUCUUGAAUUAAGAAAAAAAAAAUAUAUUAUGGGAUUCGAGAAGGACAAAGCAAGUUCAUCCUCGUAUGUCCUGAACGUUCCUAGAGAAGAUACUCCCUUAGUUGCCCCUAAUGGCUAUCAUCUCUCUUCCCAGAGCAAGACUUUUACUAAUGUCUUCAUAGCUAUAGUGGGAGCAGGUGUCCUUGGCCUACCCUACAUAUUCAAGAGAACAGGGUGGGUGAUAGGCGUCCUUAUGCUCUCCUUGGUAGCCUUCCUCACGUACCACUAUAUGAUGCUCUUAGUCCACACGCAGAGAAGACUUGAAUCCAGUCUUAAGUCUCCAAAGAUCAAAGAUAUAAUCUUACGACCAAUUUUGGGCAGGGACUAUUGAGCAGCCUUUGUGUAGUUGGGUUUGUGCAUUAACCUAUUCUUUACUUUCUCACUGAUGCUGAACCCUGUUUAUGAGGUGGUGGAGAGGAGAUUUUGUGAAGCCAGGUAUUGCUUGUGGAUGAGAUGGGUUGCGGUAUGGGAGUGACAGUGGUGGCUCUCCUGGUGCCAAAUUUUGCUGAUUUCUUUUCUCUAGUGGGGAGCAGUGUAUGCAUUGUUCUGGGUUUUGUUUUGCCGGCUUUGUUUCACUUGAUUGUGCACAAGGAAGAAUUGGGGUGGCAAGGUUUGGCUCUAGAAGUGGCAAUUGUAGCACUGGGUUUAGCAUUGCCGUCUGCGGAACAUGGACUUCCUUGAUAGUAGAGCAUGAUAAAAUUUUCAGUGUUUAGAAUUUUAUUAGAAUUAUUGUUAAAUAAAAUUCCACAAAAUAGUAGCUUUACUCCAGAAUCUUUAAAUAUAAAUUACGCAAAAUUCUAAAAUGCAAUUAAGUAAUAAAAAAGGGUAAAAAGAUAGGUCGCUCAUGAAUUCCGGCAGCCAAUGUAUUCUUACAAUUACUGCUUGAGACAGUGGCAACACUAUCAAAAUUGUAACACAUCAUUUCUAGGGCUUGAUUGGAUUUACGAAAAAAUGACAAAAAUUAAAAUUUUGGAGUUCAUGAUGAAACAUGCAAGAGAGGGAGAGAUAGUUUAUCGUCUAUUGGAUGACAAAUUUGAUUUUUCCAGACAUUGAUGACCAAGACAGGCUAUGACACUGUAACUUAUCAAUUUUAUUACCAAAGUUACUAUUUUUUUUUUUUUAAGAAUUGAAGUUCAACGUCGACACUUUUUGUUUUUGUUUUCCUUUUUUUUUGGGAACAAUUUGACAAAUGGAUGGAUGGAUAUCCAAAUGAGGACGGGUCAACAGUAUGUCCUAGUGAAUGUAAUUUUUUGUGUUGGGCCUUUUUUGGGAUUACUUUUGUAUUGGGCCUAUUUGGAUGGUGGUUUAUGCUUUUGAAGGGAUCAAAAUGGUAUUGCCGCUGGAGUCACAAACGAAGGAGAAGCAGCAGUUUGUGAGAAUCCUGGGCUGGGCAGUGGCCUCAUCUCCUUAAUGUAUGGAGGAAUUGGAAUUUUGGGGUAUUUUACUCUCGUGUGAAGAGACCAAAGGUAUAAUCAUGACCAAUUUUGGGCAGGGACUAUUGAGCAGUCUUGUUCAGUUGGCUUUGUGCAUUAACAUAUUCUUUAAUUUCCUACUGAUGAUGAACCUUGUUUAUGAGGUGGCGGAGAGGAGAUUCAGUGAAGCUAGGUAUUGUUUUGUGGAUGAGAUGGGUCAUGGUUUUGGGAGUGACGGGCUCUCAUGGUGCCAAAUUUUGCUGAUUUCUUGUCUCUAGUUUGGAGCAAUGUAUGCAUCGUUCUAGGUUUUGUUUUACCGGCUUUGUUUCACUUGAUCGUGCACAAGGAAGAAUUGGGGUGGCAGGGUUUGGCUCUGGAUGUGGCAAUUGUAGCGUUGGGUUUAGUAUAUGCUGUCCACGGAACAUGGACUUCCAUGAUGGAGAUUAUGGCAGCCAAGGCUUGAGAAACAAAGCAGAGAAUGGACUUGUAUGCAGAAAUUUUUUUAAUUUUUAAUUUUUAAAAUUUUGCCUUGCUUAGUACACUUAUUUCUUGUACUUUCUAGUUUUCAGUUUCUUGGUAUUGUUGCUAUGUUGGACGAGUAUGUUUGGCACUUGUUACCAUUUCAGCCCAAUCAGAAGAAAGCCCAAUAGCCACUUGAGGGAAGUAGCAGGAAGAAGUAGGUGCUUUCCAGAAUCAAGGUGGAUAUGUCAUAAAGGGGCCAAAUUUGUUAUUAGUAGUAUAAAGACGUUUCGUUACAAAUAUGUAAUGGGAGAAUAUCUACUGGACAUGUAAUAUCAAAAUAGAUUGGUUGUUGAAACGAGUCUAGGACUUGUCUCUUGGUGAUGCAAAUUGGAAACAAAAAGUUUAUGAUGCGCGUUUGUUAUUAAUGAUAAUAUAAGCAAGCAAAUGUUCAUUUGUAGUACUAAGAAAGCUGCAUUACAUCGGUCGAUUUUACACAAGCAACGUCAAAUUAAAUCUCCCACAACGCAAUGCAACAUGAACUUGGAAACUAAUAAUUGCACUUGACAUUUCAAGACUCGAGCAUCCCAAAGAAAAAAUAUUAAUAAAAUCAUUCCAUCAAAGAGUAUGAAAAAUUUUAUAGUACUAAAAUCUAACAUCCCACUCCAUUCACCGUGAUUAAAUUGCUCCGAAAAUGGUACUAUUGGUAGUAUUGUACUUAAUUUAAGCUUAACAGUACUCUCUCGACCACCAAAGUCUUAAACCCACCCAAAAAAAAAAAAAAAAUUCAUUGAAGAAACACAACAAAGGAAAGAGGGAGAGAAAGCAUAAGAAAAAAAAGAAAAAGGUAACAAUGAAGCAGCAACGGAAUGGCACGAAACUAAGACAUCAGGAGCAGCAGCAAAAAGAACCAAAAAAGGAAAAAGAAAAAUCUAAUCAAGCUCCUUCUGGACUUUAAUCCCUAUGGAAUUAGCAGUUUUGAUGAUAGACUUACAAAUGGACUCUAGAGGCAUAUACUGGCAAUAGGAGUCAUGCUGCUUCACCUUGGCAAUCUCGUACAUGUGCUUCAAGGUCAAGGAGGAAGCCGUCAUGUGACCGGGGUGCCCGCUACCCUUCUCCAACCCCACUGUCUUCUUUAGGUACCACGUGAUCGAUGGCGACCUGAUAGUGAACUCGAAGGUGUUGUCCUUGAAGCCUGAUAUGACAACGGCCAAGGGAGUGUCGAGCUUGUACUAUUGGAUCCUAGCGUUGAAAUCCUUGCAGAAGGCCAUUAGAGUGAGCCUGUAUUGACCCAAUGCCGGCCUCACCGGAGAUGCCGGCCGAACUCCCCCGGUGGAACGGUUAAGCGGAUCAUCACCGCCACUGGCCGACGGGUCAAGAUCUCCUUCAAUGUCGACAUUUUUUAUGGGAAUUUCCAGAUGCUUCAGUACCAGUCUUUGAAAACAAGAAUUCACAAAGUAAAUUAGGUCCUUGGUUUCAUAAAUAGAUAUAGCUUUUUCACCUUUUACAAGAUCAACAUAUAGUUAUAUUCCAAGAAGACACACUAUCUGCCAAGUUUGUCUAUUUAUCAACUAUUCACAUAAAUAUGGUAGAAGUACAACUACUGUAAUCCAAGACAACAAGAACAAAAUCUAACUCGAUCGAUGAGUUAUAGAUUUCUUCCCAUCCCAAGAUACAAAUGACUCCACAACGUUAUGACGUACACAUCACACAAAUAAGUUCCGAUAUACCAUAUUGAUAUUAAAGUAUAAAAGUGUAUACAUCACGCUUUAGCUCAAAACUGUAGCAAAGAAAAAAAAAUUAAUGUAAAAUUUGGAGAUGAAUAAUCAUACACCACAAAGUCAGACUUGACCAAUCGUUGAGGCUCUUCAAAACCAGUUUAUAUGCAAUGCAAAGAGACAGAAAAGUUAUAUAUGAAACAUGCUAGAAUGUAACUAGACAGAAAAGCCAAAAGAACCAGAAUCUUGUGCAUCUCACUUUGUCCUUGCAGGUGAUUCUGACAAUAGUUUUGGUUUCUCCCCUUCCUCUGCGAGUUAACGGGCAAGUUUAUCUGACAAAAGGGAAUAUGCAUAAAGCGUCCUAUGUAUAUUCUCAAAUUAUGACUAAUAACUAAGAAAAGUAAAAACAGAACUCAUUUUGAUCAUGCAAGAAAGAAAGUGUGCGCGCUGAAGUCAAGUUUAGACAAAAGAAGAAUUUGUCUUCCUAAAUCACAUAACAAUAAUUUUACUCCAAACACAAGUUAGACAAGACUCUGUACUAUAGACUUGAAAAGCAAUAAUUUUACUCCAAAGGCACAACACUUAGGGCCGCUUGGUUUGAGGGAUUUGUCACGUGGAAUAACGACAAUUCCAAUACUUAGUGCUUGGUACACUAGAAUGGUAAUUGAAAUAUUGGAAUCAUGUCCAAUUUAUGAUUCCUGACUAAAUUGGAAGGAAUCACUCAAAACCCUCAACUCAUUUCCAACAGUGAAUAAAUAAAAGACAAAAUAUUUUGUUAAAAUACUUUCUUUCUCCCUCUCACAGACAUCCACCAUCGAGCCUCCCCUUCCUCUCUGCCUUCAACACCUCUCUCUCCCCCCAUGGCAUCUGGCAACUCCUCCCUUUUUUCUUAUUUUUCCCUCUUUAUCAGCAUUUGGCAGCACCCACAUGGGCUUGUCGGCAGAAAAAUAGAUUCAGAUGGGAGAAAUCAAAGAGGAAGCCGCACCAACAAAUGCCGACGAGUCAUCACCGUUAUUAUCUGAAUUCUUCCAUAAGAUCCGUUCGGUUAGAACGAAGGUGCCCGAGGUCGAGGUCCACCUCUACAAGCUUGGCAAAGGACCCAUCGAUGUCUUCAAGUCCAGCCUUAGUGGGUGGGACCAAGACCAGUUGGAGGUCACCGAUUUUUUUCCUUCUCCAUAGCAUCUAACAAAAUCUCUCUUCUUCUCCCACCGCCGGUCACUCCCCCCUCACCCCAGUAGACCCUUUCUUCUCCUCCCUUGCCAUCAAAUCGUCCUCCUCAUUGCAAUCGUUCUCCUCAAAUCGUUCAAAUCUUUUAUUGAUUAGUCAUGAGUUUUUGUUGAUAAUUGUUGAACAAAAAACAAAAAAGAUUUGGAUUGGUAGUGAUUUGAUGGUGGUCCGAUGGUGGGCAUGAUUAUCAAUCCAAGAACAACAAUUAAAAAAUAAAAAAUUAAUUUUGAUACCAUUCCAACUAUAACUAUACCAAGCACUAGUCCGUGGAAUGAUACCAGGGGUUCAAACCCAUACUGAUUUUUUGUAUAUCAUUCCAUCUCCAAUACCAAUUCCAAAGCAUGAACCAAGCACCCCCUUAGUUUCCUUUACAUCACAAUUUUCUUCCUAUAUUGACUUAUUUUAGCAAUUUGCAACACUUUCCUAUAGUUCUAGACCUUUUAUGGGUACAAAUCCUAAAUGCAAAAAAUAAUAAAUGGAUGAAAUAAGGAAACUGGUAGAACACUAGUCUAAACUCAGUGAGAUCCAAAAGAGCAAUGGCAAAUGGCACCAUGCAGUUCAUCUAGCAUAUCAUCUAAUUUAGGGAUAGGAUGAUGAUACUUUACCAUUACUACAUUGACUGCUCGACAGUCGGUGCACAUUCUCUAUCCACCAUCUUUCUCAGGAUCAAGAAUAACUGGUACGGCACAUGGACUAAGACUUUCUCGCACCCAUACUUUCCUUAGUAUUUUUUCCACUUGCUUUUGCGUCUCCUUGAUCUCUUCAGGUUCCAUUUGAUAAGUAGCUUUGUAAGGCAACAAUGCUCUAGGAACCAAGUCUAUCUAAUGUUCAAUACCCUGCAAAGGUGGUAGUACAUCUGGUAUCCCUUCUGGAAAACGUCUUAAAAUUCCUAUAAAAGAGAUGAAACACUUGAAAGUAAAGUGUUAGUAAGAUCAUUAGAAAUAUCUAACACUUCUUUAUCACCUAGUACAAAUAAAGGUUGUAACACAUUAAAGCUCUCCUAACAUCAAUAGCCUUUGCACUCAAAUUUUGUUUUCUCUCUCUUUUUUUUCUCCUCUAGCUGAGCUUACUAUAGUCUUUUUCUCUUCCUUUUCCUCAACCUUACUCCCUUCUUUUCUCUCUCAUUUUUUCUUUGUUUUUCUUAUCACAAUCUAGCUCAUACUCUUUUUGUAACCUCACUUGAUCCUUAUAGACCUGUCUGGAGGUAAGUGGAACAAGGGUAAUCUUCCUAUUACAAUGCAUAAAAGAAUAUUUAUUGGUGCGUCCUUAGAAGUUGAUAGCUUUGUCAAAUUGCCAUGGACAUCCCAAAAUCACUUCAUCUUCAUAUCUAACCAAUUUCCUCAUUAGUUUCCAUCUGUUCUUCUUCAUCCUCUUCAACUAAUGAUGGCAUGUCUUAAUAUUCAUCUUCAUCAUCCGUUACUACCUCCCCACUGGAUGUUAUGAUCAUGGCACAUUGGUUAGCAUAUUGAGAUACUAUAUGACCAACUCCAUGACACUUGAAACAUUUGCUGUCCCGGUUGCGUGGUUUAUGAGUUUGUUGACCAGCUUUUAUCUCGAUUUUAGGGACUGGUUUAGUGGCACUUGGUUUCGGCCUUUGAGGUUCUGCAGAGGUCGCAAACUCGUCCUCCCUCCUUGACUAGGAAUUUUUCCAACUUCUAGUUUGGCAAGAGGUGUUUGGAUUAGUAUUACUCCUCUUCUUGAGGUGCCUUUCCAUUUUUAUAGUUUUAUCCAACAUCUCAUUAAUGUCCAUGUAGUGUUGGAGUUCAACCACUUCAACGAUUUUGGGCCCCAUUCCAUUCAAAAACCUUGACAUUGUCGCUUCCGUUCUUGCACAUCGGCCCUCAUCAUGGCCAUCUCCAUCUCUUUAUAUUAGUCAUCCACAAAUAUGUUCCUAUGAGUGAGUGUUUGAAGCCAAAGGUGUAGUUCACGAUGAUAAUAGUUUGGUAUGAAUCUUUUCCUCAACAUCCCUUGCAAUUCAUCCCAAGUUUCCAUUACACGUUCAUGAUUUCUCCUCCUACUUGCUUGCAAUUGAUCCCACAAAUCAUGGCAUAAUAUGUGAAUUCAAUUGCUGCAAGUUUUACUUUUUGCUCUUCCAUGUAUUGCAUUCAAAGAUCACUUCGAUCUUCCUCUUCCAUUCCAAGUAAGCUUUUAGAUCAGAUUUUCCUUGAAAUGAAGGAAUCUUCGGCUUUAUUCCCUUAAUAGAAUCGUCGCCUUCCUUAUUGUUGUUUCAGACAGCCCUAUGUCAUCUAGUCUCCUUCUCAAUUCAUCAUUGGAAAGUUCAUAUUCAUCCUUGUUACUCCUUCCCUGGUUUGAUAUACUUCGAUUCUGGGAAUUUUCAAUUUGAUAUAUCUGUUCAUGUAAUGGCUCAAGUUCUAAUCUCAUCAAUCAUCGAAACUCACUCAUCAUGGCUUCCAUAGAAGUUUAGAGUCAACAAUGGAUGAUCCCUCUCCAAUCGACAUGUUAAGUAACCUGAAAAAAGAGUAAGCAAAAAAAUAAGUAUGUUUUCCUCACAUGUUCCAUUAGUGUUUAUUCUCAAUACUCAUAUUUUCACUCAAUCACUCUAAUGAGUUCAAAAUCAGGUUCCAAUGGUUGUUAUUUGCUUGCCUGGAAUAAACUAAAGCUUCCUCUAGGUAAAAGUCAACCCACCAAUCGCUAACACUAGAUGAUAGCAAUUUGAAAUUUCGGAUUUAGCAAUAAAACAAGAACAACAAUGCUGUCAAGAUGGACUAGAAAAUUUAUAGAAUUUGAACAUUAGGUAUGCUGAAAAUUUCAUGAGAAUUUUGGAACUUAUGACUCAAGAAUUUGAGCUGUACUUUGGUAUAAGUAAGAACGGGUCGCCUAUCUUGCAAAGCCGAUUCUAGUUUGGACUUGGAUGCUCAAAAUUUUCUGAUUUGCUUUCCGUUUCUUGGUGGAACAAGGAUUUUGUAAGGUGGUUAGCUCGUUUCCAGGAAGAAUUUGGACCAACAAGAUCCGGUUAUGGUAGUCACAAUGGAAUCCGAUUUGGACUUUGGAUAAGUAUGAUAAUGUGCACGGCAUUUCUUUCUUGUUCACACUUGCACGUUGCUUUUUUCUUUCUUGUUUCCAAACUGAAUUUCCAAGUGGUAAGUAACGGAUGCAAGAACAAAUUAAGGUUGUUGGGACUUUUUUUUCCUCCAAAUAGUCAUGGAUUUUGUUUCAAGAAGAAUUCUGUUUUGGGGCAAGGAAUCGGUUUUGGUUUCAAGAAUUGGUUUUAAUGUUUGUUUCUCAAGAACUGAAAACCAUACCACCAAACAAGAUUUCAAGAAUUCAAGAUUUGUAGUUCAAGAAAGUCUAGAAAUCUUCAAGUUUGGUUCAAGAAACUCAAGAACUUCACAAGUUUGAUUCAAGAACUUCAAGAGACUUGCUGGAAAUUUUCGGAUAGCAAAGAUUUUAUCAAUAAACUUCCCAGAACUUCAAGAAACCCCAGGUACGAACUUCAGAUUUCUUCAAAAAACUCUCUGUAUAGAAUUUUUUUGGAUGAAUAGUAACUUCUGGAUGGAGAAUAAUUGCUACAGUAAUGAUAAACACUAAUGCUACAGUAAUGAAUUUUUUUUCUUUUCAAGAAUAAAAACAUGACAUGAAUUAAGAAAAAAAAUAGAAAAUCACAAGCCCAAAUCUAAAACUAGGUUAAACAUUUGAAGACGGAAAUUCAUAAUCAUUCUUGGACCGCUCAAGAAUGAUUCUAAUCGUAGAACAAUACUACAAUCAAGUGUGUUGCUUAAUUGAUAAAUUAGAGAUCACCUUAGGACAACUCUAAGAUUUUCAAGGUAACUUUGGCAAGCCAAAAGAACUCUUUCUCAUAAGAAAGAAAAUCUAGAAAUUUUGAUAAUGAUAAUAUUCUUCUUCAUUGAAAACCGUAUAUGUUUGGCUAUUUAUACUUUAUAGCCUACAAGGCUUGAAAAAUCGAACUAACAACUCACAAUAAAGAAAUAACUCAAAAAUUACAAAAAUCACUUAAAAUUCGAAAAUCUGAUCCUACAAGGACUGGCCUGAGACAUUGAACUGGACAUGACACUGGACAUUACCAGAAGAUCAAAUUAAAAGCACAAGAAAUGGAUCUGAGACCUGGAUCCACGAUCUGCUCCCUCGUGGAUUGGUCAGCAUUUCUACUUUUGCUUCAGUUUCCUGCAUUCUUCCUUUGUCAAACGACUCUAAUGGCUAGUUUGCUGGAAGCCACCAUGUCUUCAACAUAAAUGAUAGUCUUCAUAGGUUGACGUUCCAACUCAACGCCCUCAAUAAACUUGUAGGUGCCUUCUUGGUCUUGAACAACACAAACUAAAGCCAUCAAUGAGUCUUUAAAAUUUUUAGCACAUGAAUGAGUGAUCGGACCAACUGGAACUUUGACAGGAUCAACCCGCAUGGUAGCUUGAGUCUCUUGAACAGCUUGCAAUCCUUCAUCAAAUUUACUAAAGUCAUCCAUUCUUUUUUUCAACAAAAUUUGUUCUUCCUUAAUUUUUUCAUAAAAUUUUGUUUUCUCAUCCAAAUUUCUUUUCAAAUCAUAAGACUUGGUUUGGAGGAUAUUGUGUGGGUUUGGAAAGGUGACAAGAACUCAAGGAGUCAGAAUAGCAGGGCUAGAAAAUUCAGCAUCAACAGUUGGAAACCCAAGAUGAAGAGGACCAGCAAUAUCAACUACCAUAGCUACUAAUAUUACAGCAAGAGUUACCUUGAUUCUGUCUUUUAUUAUAGUCUUGUAUCUUUACAUGUUCAAAGUGUCCUUUUUCCUGACUACAAGUCCUUUUUUCCUAUAAUAAUGCAUGGUUAAAUAUAGUAUCUGCAUUUCUAGACCAUGUCAAUCGUGAUGUAUUUUAUAUGGAUAUCUUCAAUUGAAUUGUGGGCACUAUGUAUCUCUGUUUAUGUUGAAGACUCCUCCUCUAGUUUUUGUUGUCUGAAUUGUUAAUGGCUUUCAUGUCUUCUAGCCAUAUUGAGACAUUUUUCUUUACCGAACUGAUGUCAGGCUGGCAAUAUUUGCCUUUUUCAUGUACUGGGGUAUAAUAUUAACCAAUUCCAGGUUUUUAAGGAAUGAUCUAAUACAAUGUAAUCAAUUUUGCCUUAAGUAUUGCUUUUCUUGGAAGAGUUUGUUUGGAUGUCCUUGAAUUAUCUUCUUUUCAAAGUGUCUUGAAGAGUUUUGACUUAGUCAGAUUUUUUUUCUUCUGCCAUAUGCUAUAGUGUAAACUCUGCUUUGCAUGAUUAGUAUGAUUUAGUCCCGUUUACAUUUUUCAAUCCUGUGCAUGUAACUUUCUUUGUCUGAUAAAUUAGGAUUUCGACCAACCAAAAAAAAAGAUAAAUUCAUGGUUUCAAUAUGCCAUAUUUUGAUAGGAUAGCGGACAAUGGUACUUUUUGGCAUAGUUGUUUUGUUGAAGGUGUAGAUUGUGAUUUGAGGUACGAAAACACAUUGAGUAACACUUGAAUUGCUAAUAGGUAUUUUGCAACAUUUUCUAAGUAUUUGUUGCUUGGCUAAUAGAAACCACGCCAUGGAGAAGAAAAAAUUCCAUUACAAUCAAUUGAAGAAAAAUGUUAUAGGAGGAAUUUAAACAAAAAGAAAUUGACAAUGAACAAAUUCUCGUAAACAAAUUCAAACACUACCAAAGUACUAAUGCUUUCCAUUAAAGGGUUCACCUUUCAAAUCAAUCAAAAACAAAAAAAAAAUGGAAAAAUUGAUUGAACCUAUCAGGUUUGCAUAAUUAAUUAACCAUCUGUCCAUUUUAAAUAUGUAUCAGUACUCCUAAUAUUAUUACUUAUUUGCGCAAAGGGGCCAACGAAAUAUUGAACAACUGAAAGCCUGAAGGUUAAAAAAACCAGUACAUGAGGAAGCUAAAACAUAAAGAAAUUGACAAUGAACAAAAGUAAAAAAGAAAUAGACCAACUGCAAAACAUGUUUAAGAAAUCUCAACAAAAUUCUCGUAAACAAUUCAAACGCUAACAUGAUACUAAAGCAUUCCAUUAAAGGUUUCAUCUUUCAAGUCAAUCAAAAGCCAAUAAAAUGGGAAAAUUGAUUCCAUCUGUCUAUCUUGAAUAAGUAUCUGUUGGAAUAAUUUGUGAACUGAAAUGGAAGGCAAGCUUGUUAAACUCAAAAUAUUGGACAAAAGAAAAAUGCUUAAUGCAGCCCCUUGAUAACUAUUAUAGGGGGGAAACAAUUUUGGCAUUUUUGUCCAUUGAAGGAGACUAAUUGUAGCCUCUUGAUGAUCAUUAUAGUAAGGAAACGAUUUUGGUAAUUUUGCCCAAUAAAGAAGACUAAUGCAACCUCUUAGUGAUUAUUAAAGUGACAAAAUUGUGUCUCUUUAAUUUUGAUAUCUUCUAGAUUGACUUUCCCUAUAUAAAUGACAAACUUUUAACAAACUAACUAAUUUAGCCAUUUUGAUUCUUUCUUAGUAAAAGACCUUAGUAUCAAUGAUGACCACAUUUUUGUGCAUUUUAUACAUAUGUAUCAAUGAAUAUUUGAUUUUAGUAUGCCUACUACUGUACUCAAGCCAAUAAGAAAAUACACAUGCUACUUACUGAGCAAGGUGUUGUCACUCCGCUUAUCAUUUUUUUUUGUAGAGAUUAUAUCUUCUAAAGAGGUUCAAGUCAAGCAUUUGGGCAUUUAGAAUUUGAUCCUAAUGGAGAGAGGAUUGCAAUAAAGGAUUGAAAGUUUAUAUUCUAGCAUUGGCUUUUGUUAAGUCUGUAAGCAUUUGUAACUAGCUAUUUAUCUAUAUUUAUAUCAGGUUAGAUGCAUGGGAUUGAAUUGGUGGAAUCAUAUCUUCUUUUGGUUGUGAAAAAAGAAAUAUUAUCUAUGUUUGUAUGAUAUACUGAUAAAUUUUAAAUUUAUUAGCUUUGUUAGCAUGUGCCUUGGGGAUAACCACGGGGUACGACGAAGUUAUGUCUUGAGUACGGUACAUGAGAACAAGUCUUAGUUAAUGCCUGGGUACAAUGAUGGGACCCUAAGUUUUGGGAUGUGUGAAGACCUGAAAUUUAUUUUAUUUUAUUUUAUUUUACUGGCUUAUUUAAUUAUUUAUUCACCCGUUUAUCCCAAAUAAUUUAUUUCAUCCGUUUCAAGUCCAUUUGUAUGCAAAAAUGUCCCUUUUAUAAUUUUAAAACAUUUCGUUAGCAAAUUUAAUUUUUCUACGGCUUGUUUAGCAAGAAAUAAUGAGUACACGUUUUUCGAGAUAAUUUCGAUUCGAGGGUACAUUAGUUUUGGAGAACUAGGGAUGAUCAAUAGUAGACUAAGAAAAGUUAAUUGAGGGAUUAAAUGUGAGUGAGUUUAAAUUAAGCUUUUACCGCGCGCGCGUCAAUAAUGUCUCGAAAGUCGCACCACGCAAUUUAUUGGAGAUUUGAGAAAUUAAUAUUAGACUAGUAAAAGUGAGUGAUUACAGAGUUAAAGGAAAUACCUUGGAGGAUUAGUGCAUGAAUGUAUAAAACCCGAGAGAAAUUAGUGAUACGAAACCCUAUCGAGUCACUAUUCAAAGUUGACUUUUGCACAUCUUUAACUUAGCUUGUUCAACACAAUUCUUCCCAAAAUUGGAGACCAAGAAACCAUCACUCACUUCACUCUUUCAGCCAGCCAAGAAAGAAAGAAAGGAAAGGAAGAAAAGCUCUCUUCACUUGCUCCACUUCUUGAUUCCAUUUCCUUCACAAAUCAGCACCCAACUCUUAAACACCUUGGAGAUUCGCUCUAGCUUGAAGGGAAGAGAGGGGCAGCUGGUUAGGGGCUGUUUUAAGAAGUUUGUCACACCAAAAAUAUAGGGUUUCUUCUUGAGUUUUGAAGGUAUAAACAUCUCUCACCAAAGCUUUUACUUUCUUGUUUCAUUUCUUGGUUUUGAAGCUUGUAGCUUCUUUCUUGUUGUUGUUGCUUGGAUUUGGUCAGUUAAAGUGGGCUCUAUGAACUUUCACCUUGGUUAAAUGAGGGCUGUCAUGAUGUUUAUGUGUGUAUUAGUGUGUUUGUGAUGAGUUUUACAAGAAGAAACUAGAAGAGGGAAAAGAAAGAGAGAAAACCGUGAGAAGAAGUAAGCUGGCCGAAUCUGUCCUGUUAUUGCCUUGCCUAUGUUUUAAAUUUUUGAUACUCAAAUGAUUGUGAAACUGAUGUAUAUAUGUGGUAUAUUGUGUGUAGAAAGUUUCUACCAAAAAUCAUUUGAUUUGGUUGAGCAAAACUUGAAAUUUCGAAACUGCAAGAAAUCUGGAAAUGGUCAUCCGAAGGCCUGAACAGUGUAUCUUUGAUUGAACAUAACUCUUUGUACAAAAGUCAAAAUCAAGUGCCGUUUGCGGCAUUUGAAACUAGACAUUCUUAACUUUAAAAGGGUAUAAAAAUCACUGUCUAGUUCGGUUUGUGUGAACUGCAGUGAACUGAUAAGUUCGGCUGUUCUGUUCAGCUUUUUCAUUCGAAUGGAAAUGAAAAGCUGUAACUUGUGGCUUGAAUUUGAACUACUUGUGAACUGAUUUUGGAAAUGAUUUCUUCUGAUGAAAUGUAUCUUUCAGAACCUAGUUUUCAACGCCACUAACCAUUCUCAAUUUCAAGUUGUAUUGGGUGAGAUAUGGCCUGAUUUUUAAAUUGCAUCAAAACUGGAAACUGGAAAGUUUCUUCCCUCUUGCUGGCCGAAUGGUUAAACUUGUUUUGGAAUGUUUUGUUUCGAAAACUUUGAUGUCAAUUACCUCUAAAUUAUUCAUUGGAUGUAUAAGGAACCUUAGUUCAACAUUUGAGCUAACUGAGGUUGAUUGUGUGGUACAAAACAUUUGAAAAGGAAAGAGAACCACGGAUGGCAGAUUUGCUUUGAAAUUUUCCCGAACUUUGACUAUUUUGUUAACUAUCUUCCCACGUGAGUUUUUGCGUGAAAUUUGGUAGAGAUAUAGUCACAUAUGGAAUAUUUAGUGUACCAAAUUUCGUGUAUUUUCAAUGCCAUUUCGAUGGCUAAAUGAUACUUCAAAGAUAGCUUUUCAAAUCUGGAAAAUGACUGAACAGUUUGCAAAACGCGACCAACUUUGAACUGAUGUAUCUCAAUACUCAAAACUCCGAAUUUACUUCUGUUUGUUGUGUUUGAAACUUUGUUUAGAACUCUUAUUUUUUUAUGAAUUUCAAAGGCUAAUUCACUUUCUGUGAAUUAUGCCGAAUUUCCAAAGUUUGCUGAAAAACCAAUACUGGUUCAAACCUGUCUUCUUGGAACUGAAAUUUUGAGCUGAAUUAUGAAUGCUUUCUAGUUGGAAUCAUGGAAAAGUGUCUUCUAAAAAUUUUAGUACUCUGAAUUUGGUUUCUAACGAUAUAAAAUUUUCCAUUUUUGGACUUGCGAAAUUCGAGAUACGAUUUUUCAAAGUAAUGUCGCUCUAAACUGGAAAAUUUCUGUUUCAACCAAAUUACUCCUUUAAGAAAUUUCCACCUUCCUUUGUGAUUGUUAGACUGUUUUAAAUUUGAUUUCAUGGUUUAAUACAAGGUCUCUUUGGAACUUUGAACUUUCAUUUCAAAUCUUGGUCUCCGAAGGUUAAAUCUCUCUUGAUGCAAUUACUUGUUCGUAUAACUCUCUUGGUUAAUGGUACUUCUCUUCGUAUUUAAAUUAGUGACUUCAACCCCUAUUCUUAUGGCCUUGAUAAUUGUACUAGAGUUGGCAAUUAUACAAGUAUUUUAAAAGAAUGAUUUGAAAGGUUUCUUGUGAACUUAAUUAGUAAUACCGGAAUGCUUUGGCCAAACUUCCAAGUAAAUAUAUCCAUCUUUCUCGAUUUUCGUACCAAAACUUAGAGAUCUGUUUAAUCUUCAACUUGGAGAAUCCUGGACAUGACUUGACUUGGAUCAAUGUAUUCUUGGGUAUUUUUAAAUGCUACCCUCGUGGAUUAAGUUAUUAAGUGAUAUUUGGAUUCGAUUUGAACGCGUUAUCUCUUAAGUGAGAAUAACGGAAAUACUACAAGACCUUGGCUGAAUACCUAGGUGAAUUGUAAUUGUACAUGUCUCAGGUGAUCAAAAGGAUCCCGAGGAACUCGUUUGAUCUUAUCUCGCUCUUGUUUUACACUCUUGAUUUCAGUGAGUGUUCCUUAUGUGUUUAAGUGUUAAGUACUACUUAUAAUUGUUUCUAUGAAAUUUUCCACCGUUUUAAGGCGAGUGUGUACUUUAUCUCACUCGACCUACUAAAAUGACAAAUUUCUACCGUUUAACCGUGAAUUUCUACCAUUUACCGAUUUACUUGAUUACUUGCGCAUGUUGUAAGCUCUAAGCUGAAUUGGGUCCUGCCCUUGGUUACUAACCUGCUCGAGCCAGGACUGGGCUUGGUCGGGUAGGAUGGAGUCCUGGGCUACUGUAUUGGUAUACUCGAGUAUUAUCACUGGAGGGAUAAGGCGAUGGCCAGACAAACCGGGGGAAUUAUUGGAGUUAUAAGGUGAAGCUGACCGAAACAGUUUCACGUGAACACCGUAUCCUUUUAAUGUGUGUUUAUUUCUGUAAAAUGAUAAAUGUCUCAUUUUAAUGUGCCAAUGCGAAAUCUUGAACCGGACAUGUGUUAUGCUCAAUUUACUUGAUUUAUUAUAACUGUUUAGGUGUUUUGGAACCUCACUGGGCUGUUUAGCUCAUUCCAUGCUUUUGUUUUCCUUAACAGGGUUCAAGACCGAGAGUACUCGCGAAUAGUACUAAGUUAUUUUCUUUUGGAAACUUUAAGUUAUAUUAUAGCAGACGACUGUAGUACAUAUACUUUGGGGUUGUAUUUAAGCUUGAAGAUUGAGGUAAUUUUGAUAACUUGUGAUGUAAGACUUGGAAGUUUAUUUAAGGGAGAGAUUUUUCUUAAUUUGAAUUUUAUUAUUGGUUGUGUGCCUUUAAAUUUAAAUUUGACUUGUAUCGAGUCCCGACGAGAGCUGGACAGGCGUUUCGCAGAUACCCUUGGGUUCGCCCUUGGGAGAAGUGGGAGCGUCAUAGGAUAACCCAAAGUUAUAGACGAGAUUUGAAAACAAGUUUGUUGAUUUUGCAGGAACUCAUUUCGAGUAUCUCCCAUUCAGUACAGGAAGGAGGAUUUCCCAAGAAUCUCAUUUGGUUUAGCCAAUAUUGAACUUCUAUUAGCUCUUUUGUUUUACCAUUUCGGCUGGAAAUUUUCGAAUGGAAUCAACUCCAAUAAUUUGAACAGAAGCGAGACUGGCGGAUUAGCCACCUCAAGAAAACACAACCUUUUCUUGAUGGCUUCCAUGUAUGAUCCUACACCUGAUAUGGGGUGCGAAACUCCAACAACAUAUUCAAGAAUAUCACCACCAAUAUAGUUUGGUUCAAAAUAAAAGAUAACUAUUUGUUGGAAAAAUAAAAACAUUCCUGCCACCCCUCAAAUUCAUAUUGUGCAAAAAAAAAGGUACAACACUUUCUUAUUCCCCUAAAAAUAUGUAAACAAAAUUGCCAUACGUGCACAAAUCCCAUUUCAAUUUAUAGUACUAUGCAUCUACUCUCAAUGACUAAUAACAUAACUUUACUCCUCCAACAGUUCAAGAAACUGGCUUAUCCAAAUUUCAGCUCUGCUCAACUUUGCUAGAGGCAAAAUAGCUUUCAGGUUAAUAUAAGUUUAUUAGCUUUAGACAAAUACAAGUUAAUCACUUCUUGCGGUUAUGAACAAUCCCAUUCCUCCAUGCAUAACUACUAUGUUUCUCAAAAUCGUGAUUUCUUGAAGUCUUGUACCUUGACAAGAGUCAAUCAGCAUCUUUUACCUUUCAUUCCUUAAUCCCAACUACCCCAAAUUACCGCCAAUCUCAUUGGAUUUCAAAUUUUUUGAUGCUAGAUUUCGAUUAUCAGAGUUUUUUUUAAACCAUCCCAACCCACUACCUGGAUCUAGCGCACAUUUGUUUGGGUAGGAGUUUAUUUGGAUGAUUUAUUUGAAAUAAUUACUGUAGCACUUUUUGUGAUGUGAUGUAUAUGAGAUAAAAAAGUAUUGAGAAGAUAAAAAGGUGAAUGAAAUUUGUGAAAUAAAUUAUUUUAUUUCAAAACUAUGCAAUCCAAACACACUCAAUUAUUAUUACCAUCUGGGAUCUCAGUAUAAGUCUAAUAGCAACUUAAGAUCAACUUUCAAAAAUUGCAAUCAACUUCAUCGACGUGAAGUUCUUGGUCAGAAAAAGCAUGUCACAAGGAAAGCCACACGUUUUGUCAAAGAAUUACUACCUUUUUAGCAUUUUCAACAGCCUUUUUACCUCUAUAGCCAACCCACUACACCACAUUGCCAUAGAAGUGCACAAACAUUUUCAUGUCCAAUUUUGUUUUUCCAUCCAGUUAAUCAACCAUUUGUUAGAAAUAUUUCCCUAUAACAGUCGCAAGCUGCCAACUAGCUAGAGAAAAAACAUGAUAUGAAAAAAUUGCUAUUACAAAGACGUCAUACAUAGCAGGCCAAUUAACAGGGAGAUCACAAUUCAUUUUAAAAUGGCCAGACAGCCUGGAAUAGUCAUUGUUGGUGCUAUAACAAGAAAAUGGUACAAGACAAUGGCAAGAAUAAACAAGAAUAAAAGAUCUUCAAAUCCUGAUUUACAGUCACUUUUCCUUUAAAUUUUAUUUGUCUGAUACAAGUGUAAUCUAUUUAGACAAAUAUCCUUUAAGAUAAUUUGCAAAGUGUUUCCAACCACUUGAAUAAUGGAGUGCUUUUGUAGAGAACUCUAGUAAUAGGAAAGUGAUUUUCUACAGUAAACCAUCUUCUACUUAAUCUUUUAUAGAAUCAGAUUAUAAUGUCCCAAAAGUCAUACUUUUUGUUCAAUGAUUUCAUGUCUUUUCCUUAGUUUGUGUUAGUUGAGGUUUCUCUGCGCUAACACAUGUAAAUAGAAGUUAAUUAGGGGUUUUAGACAUCAUUUAAAGGGGUAACCACCAAUAUAUGAAAAGGUUCUAAAAUAGCAAGUUUUUAGUUUCUGAUCAUUACAGGAUCCGGCCUUGGAUCCUUGUCUGCACAGAAUCAGAUUUGGCCAGUUCAGCAUGCCAAUGAAGAUCUGAGGCCAGAUCCUUCUUGAUCCAAGCUAGAUCCGGGGCCAUUUCCCCAUUGCAAAAUUCUAGACCUCUCCGUCCAGAACCCGGCUGAUGAAUCCAACUUGAUCCAAGAAGGAUUCGAUGCCAGAUUCCAGCUAGUUCCUACUAAUUUGAAAAUUUUUGACAAUCAUGAUGCCGUUAGGGCCUUCUAUUGAAUACAGAAUAGCAAAACAAAUUAAGUGAAAAAGAACAAAACAUCAAUCACAUUAACAAAUUAUCCUUGUACAAAGCAAACAGCAAAUGACAGACACUUGAUAUGCUUUAAAGCAGAUAAUGGAAAAAUGGACCUGCAAAUAGUCGGAACUAGUCUUUAAUAAAGUUUUAUUUUAUUCAGAAUUUUUCUAGAUUCGCUGCUAUAAUACAACAACUUAUGAUCAUUUUCAUGCAACAAAAUUCCCCGAUAGCACGGUUUAUGGUAUAGUUGAGAUUACCAGAAUAUAGAUUGUCAUACUUUCUCUAAUCACCAUAUCCAUAUAUUUUUCUUAUUUUUCUUCCUCAAAACUAAGCAUCAUAAACAUUAAAUCAUUUAAACCAGCUAUAAUCCAAUAUAUAAUCACUAGGGUAAGCUCGGAAUCAGAGUAUACCUCAAAGAACACAUGUUUUUCUAGAUUCUCAAAAACUACAUCGAACUCUGAACACUUCACAUACUAAAGCUUCAAAACUUAUAAAAACUACACCUUACAGGAACAAAAAAAAUAAGAACUUCAUUUCAAAUUAUUCAGAAGCAUAUUCACUCAACACCAGAAGAUUGGCACGAGAUGAAGGAAUAAAACAUGCAACUAGAGAAAACAAGGCCCAUCGAAUGAUUGGAACUCUUUUUUCCAGUAAUAUAUAGCAAAUCAAUCAUCCAAUUUUGCUAGAGGCUAUAUGAGCAAAAAUUGAGUUCAUUUCUAUCUAAGUCCUUAAUAAGCUUUAAACCUAAGAUUUUUCCUUUCUAUAAAGAAAAGACAACAAAAGACGAAGAUCGACAAAGAAACCAAGAAAAAAUAGUAGUUAGAAUUUUAGCUGAUCUUUAAUUUAAUUGGGAAUUUAUGAGAGAGAAAGGGAGCACAUUUUUCUUAUGAAUUUUUCAUUCACUUUUCAUUAAAGAGAAAGAAGAUAGCGUCCAAUAUAGAUGGGCCAUUUUGAUUGUGCCACAAACUAUUCUAGGCCUAAACUUCUAUAACUGUUUGGACUAUUAUUUGAAAAUUGUUGUAGCCUUCUAAAGUCAAAACAAACCCAAAAUAAAAAAUAUAGAUAAUUUCACAAACUUUCCCUAAGGUUUUUAAUAAUUGCAAAGAGCUCCACUCAAGUUUUAAAAUUACAUAUACGUCCCUACUUUUACUAUUUAUAUAACAGUGUAGGUCCAACAAACUAGAUUUUCUCUCAAAAAUCCUAAAUUGCACUUUUUCACAAAACAAAGAAAGAAAAACAUAGUAUAUUCAAUCAUUUUCUUCCACAUUUUACAAAAAUAGACAGAUCUAAUCCCUAGCAACCAUCCAAUCAUAAGUUCCAAAUUGCAUAUUCAACAUCAAUGCUUGUCAUGCAAAAAAAUAAAAAUACAAACACAAAAAAUACACAAACACAGACACAUACCAUUGACAACCAAUUUUAUACCUCAAAAUUAAAUCUCAAUACACAAAUACCUUUUUAAUAUAAGCUAAUCUAGGCUAAAAAUUUUUAGUUCAAUAAAAUCAUAAUAAAAAAUUUUUAGUUCAAUGAAAGAAAUCCUUAUGCAAUUAUUGACAUUUUACAAAACAAAUUUUUUGCCAACAAGCAAAAUAUGACAAAUUUCACAUCUUUGGUUCUUCUACCUAUUUCAAUAAUCAAUUUCAUUAUUUAUUUUUCUAUUACUGCGAAACUUUCAUUUCUCUCUAGUUUGACAUAUAAUCUGCUCCCUCUGUUAAUUUUGUAAUUUCAAUUUGCUAAUAUCCAUAAAAUUGAAGAUAAUAAAAAAGGGUAUAGUAGUAUAUUAAUUAGAAAGAAUGGAGCAAAAAUAGAUAAGAAAUAGAAAAAUAGAUUUUUUUGGGUUUUGUAAAUCUAUUGCUUUAAAUUGAGAAGUGUCUACCAAGUGAAAGGCAUUUUAGGUACUUUACUAUGCCAGGGGAUGUAAGUGUAAUUUCUUAAACUUGAAGGGAGUCGAGUGAAAUUGUUUGAAACCUCAAGGGAAGUUCCUGAAAUUAUCCCAAAAAAUAAGUAUAACCAUGGUUGCCUUUAUUUUUCAAUUUCCCUUUCUUUGUUAGCGGCUUUCUCUAUCACCAUUCUUUUACAAAGAAGCAGAGAAUCCCAAUUUUCAACCAUCUAAAAUUUAAAAUUUAUAUAACGACAUUCUUGUUCAUUGAAGAAAUCCAAAUGGCAAUGGGUUCCAGUAAGAAAAGAUAAAAAUCAAAAAAAAAAAAGAAAAGGAUAUUUAAGAGUGAUUUUAGCUAGAAAAUACUCUCAUUUUACAGUUCUGAUUGUUUGUGAGAUGAAAUCAUUGUAAAAGCUUUUCAAGCUUAAGUGAGACAUUCAAUUUGUAGCAUUGUGAGGGUUAAUUAAAGUUAGUUUUAGAACUCUUUGGAUCAACCAAGGAGUACUUGGGGUGAAUAAAGAGUGAUCCUUCUAUUUUACAAGAUUUGUUUGCUUCACCAAAUUGAAGAAAUUUCAUUAGUGGAAUAAAACUUCAAGUUUGGUUAAAUUUGGAAGAGUUUGUUUGCACUAUCUUAUCAUUUCUCUAAUUCCUUUAUUUCAUUUGUUUAAUUGCUCUUCAUUGCUUUAUUCUACUUGAUUUUACUUGAUUUUUGUGUAAACAAGUGAUUUGAUCACUUCGACAACUUGGUAAAUUUUAAUUGUGCAAAAUUGCCUCUAAUCCAACUAGGUUCUUAAUCAACCUAAUUCACCCCCUUCUUAGGUUGCUUUGGGACCUUACAAUUGGUAUCAUUACUUUGUUUAUUUCAUCAAAGAAAUCAUCACUUUGUUUGUCAUCAUCAAAAAGGGGGAGAUUGAAGACUUAGGUUGACCAUUCCUUGGUUUUGAUGAUAAUGAAACAAAAUGCUGAUUUCGACUAAUGUAUUAACAUAAGAAAUGAUUUAGGAUAGGUUCUUAGUCAUUGAAAUAAGAAGAAAAGAAAGUCAAGAAUGAAUAGAAGAUGACAGUGUCUCAUGGAUCAAACGCAUCUCAUUUGUUGGUUGUCCGAAAUAUUUAGAACAAAGAUUAGAACAUUCUGACCUUCUUUCGGAUGCAUCUGUCAGAUGCAGAAAAUUUGGAUCAAACAUCUAAUUGAGUUUCGAAUGCAGGGCUUGGGCGUAAAGGGUUCCUGUUAGAUGUUGAGCAGCUCUAACGACUAGUUUUCUAGUAGCUAGUUUUUUGACCAUUGAAGAUGCUUUUGAGGCAAAAAUUUCAUCAUCUAUAAAUACUCCCAAGUAUGAGAAGAAGAAUGACUUUCGUCUACACAAAAUACAAGCUUUCAAGAGUGAUAUUUGAGUAGAAAUAUACUUCGAUUAUUGUACGGGUGUGGAGAAAGUUGGGUUUGUGAGGCUUCUCAGAGAGGAGAAAUAAAACCUUUGUGAAGGUGAUCCUCAUUUGUAAAGUAGUUCUUAAUUGAUUGGAUGAACUUUCAAUUGUAGUUAGUUGAGAGUUAAUUAUGAGAGCUGUAAAACUCCUUGGUUUAACUAAAGGCUUUUAGGAUGAGGAAGCAGUGAGCCUUCACUUGUACAAAUUGGUUAGUGUCACCAUCAAUUGAAGAAAGAACUUGGUUGAUUCAACUUCAACUUUGGAAGAAUUUUGAGAGUUUUAUUAGUUUGCAAUACUUUCACUUUAUUGUUCUAUUUUUGUUAUUUGUUUUCUGACUUAAUUUGCUUAUAUAUAUAUAUAUUAUUAUUAUUGCGUUUGUUUGAGUACUUGUUUACUUAAAUUAUUUCGGUUGAAUAAUUGGGUGAAAAUUGGUCUUUAUUUGCUUUAAUUUUUAUCAAUCUAAUUUACCUCUCCUCUUAGGUUAUUUUAGGACCUAACACUUGUCCAACGACAAUCCUUCUACAUUUGGCGAUGUCUCAUUUGUUACUGCAGCAAUGGGUACAAUCUUGAAUAUUCAUCAUGGAAGCAACACCGCCUCUAGAAGUUUACUUUGCCGAUAGUGAAGGGUUCAACUUUUAUCAAGUACUUUGUACUGAAUCUUGAUCAACUUUGUUGUCUUGAUCAUGGUUCUCAAGUCUAUAAUGCAUUAUUUUGUCUUCUUCUACUCAGGAGUAAUAUUAUUGAUCAUUUAUUUUAUAGUAGUCAAUUAAUCAUAACUUGGAGUACUGUUCUUGAUAUUGAUCAAUCCUAGACCCCCGAAUUUUUACUUCUUCUGAAUGGGGUCUAGAUUGAUCUCUAGACCAAGAAUACUUAGUAUUUUGUAAAGAAUUUUCUUGAACUUCUAGAUUUUGAGUAAUUAAUAUCGUACUGAAUUAGUUUGUUUUCCAUUUGUUUCAUUUCCCCUGUUUCUAGUUUUCAAUUCUCAACCCUUAAAGAAUGCGAAUAUUUACUCCUCUACCUUAGGCAUGUUUUCCAAAUUCAUGCAAAUAUUCAUACUUGAGAUUUCUUUUUUCUUUUCAAUCUCUUGUUGGACUGAAGCUAUCUAUAGGAGUGAAUUUGGCAAAAGUUCUAGUGGAGUCAAACUCUUGCUUAUUUCUCGAAUCCUGUCAUAUCUUCUACUAUAUACAUUAUAUGAUUAAGAGAGUAUUUCUCUUGUUUUAAUUUAUUGGUAAUAAUUUGGAUGUCAAUGAAGUGAUUUAGUCAUUUAAAGAGGUUGAUUUGAUAUGUGUAGGACGUGUUCUUAAUUUUGACUUGUUGCUUGAUAAGUGUUCAGUUUGCAUAUUUAUGUUUGGAUGUUUAUGUGUGUUUUAGUGUUUUUCAUUUAAUUUAUGUCUGGAUGUUCAUUUUGCAUAUUUAUGUCUGGAUGUUUAUGUGUGUUUUAGUGUUUUUCAUUUAAUUUCAAGUUAAAUAAUUAGAAAUUUAUUUGGAUUUUACAGUUUAUGGUUAAACUUAGGAAAAUUGUGUUCCUAUGGAACUAAACAAUGAAAAAUUCAUGAUUUGUAAGUUUUGAAGAUCCAAGCAUCAAUUGGAAUGAAAUGAGAAUAUAGUUAAAAGUUUCUUGAUGACAUAAAGUGGUUUUCAAGUGUACAUGAAGUGCAAAUGAUGAAUAAAUAAAGUGCAAUGAAGAAACAAAAAGGAUCCUUGAAACCAACACACUUAAUUAUCUUCUGACCAAUUAGGGGUAUUUUGCAUUGACAGUCGGUCCAAGCCUUCUAUGAAUUUUGCAGGAGAUUUGUUUUCAAAUUCAGAUGAGAUGCCAAAUCAAGCUUCAGUUUCACCCUCCUUGCUAGAGGUUUUUAAAGCUUUCCAAGAUGAAAUAUCCUGUAGACUUCCCCCAGUUAAGGAUGAUCAGCCUCUUCGCUCCACAACUAAAAAUCCUUGGCAAAGGAGGUAUUUAAAUUUGCCAAGAACAGUCCUUACUCGUCAAGCCUCUAAGGCUCCUCAAGAACUUAGAAAAUUGCUUUGUAUCCAUAGUGUUUCUUUGCUGGUAGUUUUAGAGCCUAUGAUUGAUACUUCUAGUUUUCUAGAAUUUCAACAGAAGUUGGGGUUUGAAUUUGGUUUGUUUAAUAUAUCAAAUAAAAUUUGGACUUUAUGGAAGUUGGGUUUCCAUGCUUCCUCAAUUAGUAAUAAAGAGCAGUUCAUACACCUUGCAAUAUCCCAUGAUUCUUGGAGUGAAGCUACAUUUGCUACCUUUGUUCAUGCGAAGUGUACGCCAGUUGAACGGCAUUGCUUAUGUUUGUCUCAUAUUGCUUCAUCGAUUGGUGAUCGCCCAAGGGUAGUUGGAGGGGACUUUAGACAUUAUAUCCUCUUUGGAGGUAUACUCUGGCCGUGCACCUCAGGAUUUGCAAGCAAUAACGAAUUUUAACAAUUUUAUCCUGACUGCUUCAUUGAUACAAAUUUCGGCUGUGGGUGGUAAGCAUACAUGGACUGGAGUUAGGCUUGGUGUGUGCAUUUGGAAGCGUUUGGAUAGAGUGCUAUGUAAUAGUAGUUAGAAGCGUUGGUUUUCUCAAUCAUCAAUUCAUCAUUUGAACAGAUGUUUUUCAGAUCACUCGUCAUUGCUCUUUCAAUUAAGUGUGAUGUCAGUGGGUGGCCCUAAAUCGUUUAGAUUCCAACAAAUGUGGAUUCAUCACUCUUCUUUCUUGUCUACAGUUAAGAACAAUUGGGAAAUUCCAAUGGAGUAUAUAAGGAUGUUUCGCUUUUGUCAGAAGCUUCGCAGGCUUAAGUUUUGUCUUCGAGAUUGGAAUAAAAAUGUUUUUAAUAAAGUUGCUGUGGCAGAGGAGAACCUUAGGAGUAAAAUGGAGAUGUAUGAGCAGUGUUCCACUAAUUCUAAUCGAGUCGAAUGGAGUAAGGCUCAAGCUGAACUUUCAUAGUGUUUAGCAUACGACAAAACUUUUUGACAACAAAAAGCCCACAUCAAAUGGCUCAAAGAGGGUGAUUCUAAUUCUAAAAUUUUUCAUGCCUCUUUGCUUUAAAAACGAGCUCCUCUUUCUAUUCAUAAAAUUAAGGACAGUGAUGGUGAUUGGAUAGAUGAAGAAGGACAAAUUAUUCAAGUCGAAAUUUCUUUCAUUCAAGAUUUGUUUAAUCAGGAUGUUCAAAAUCAUGAUACGGUGGCUCAAGAAAGACUUCUUAAUUGUAUUCCUCAGGGUAUUUCUUCAGACUAGAAUAGUAAGCUCUUAGAGCAAAUUUCUAUGCGAGAAAUAAAAGAAUUUGUUUUCCAAUUGGAUGGUCAAAGUGCUGCAGGGCCAGAUGGUUUCACUGGUUUAUUCGUCAUGCAUUGCUUGGACAUCAGAUUUUAUUAGUUCAAUUUCAAUCAUAAAUUCAGAUAAUGCCAUUUGCUUUCUUUCGACUUAGUUGAUGCUGUUAAUGAUUUUUGGUAUGGUGUUCCUAUUCCAAGAGUGAUUGCUAGUUAAAAGAAGUUCCUUUAAAUUGUUAAAAAGAAUUGUUUUUGGCUUUAUUGAGCUAUAUUUCCUAAAAAUAUCUUUCCUUUAAUGUGAUAAAUUUGACUUCUUGUUUGCAUUAUGAUACAUCUUUGCACAAAAUAGAUGUAUUCCACCAGAAAUCUGGCCUGGUCAUUAUGAAUCAUGGAAUUAUGGUACUUCUCAUCCUCAUUGGACUGCAAUUCAAAAAGCUAAGAAGGUUUUUACUAAAAUGAUGAAUGACAGUGUGAUGCAAGACUCUCAACCAAUUGAUUCACCAUCAUCCUCAUAGGCAUCCAGCUCACAAACCACUUUGCCAAAGUUUGUGACAAGAUCAUAUCAAAGGACAAUGAUCAAUAAAGCCAAAAACAGGAGAAGACAUCUUGAUUACAUUGAAGAAAUGAACAUAACAGAUCCAGAUAGCACCCCAUCUGAUACUCCGAAUGAAGAUAUGUAUUAUUAAAGGUUGUUUAAAGUUUGUAUUAUUGUGGGUCAUCGUGUUUGCCAUUAUUAAAACAUAAGUUUGUCUUGUAAUAAGAAAGUCAAAAGAUAAAAGACAAAUUUCAAGAUCUGAUUUAAUCCAACUUCUUCCAGAAGAAUGGGUUACAGAUUAUGAAAGGUUACAUCAUGCUGCAAAAAAUGAACCAAUUGAAUCUAAUGAUUCAAAAAUUGGUCCUUCUGUUAAUGGAAGAACUUCCAUAAGUUUUGACCAUUCUCAUUUAGUUCCUAAAAAGAUUGACACAUAUCCUUCUAUGAGAAUGAUGCAAGUACCCAUGCAAUUGCCAACAGAAUAUGAGAAAUCAUGGGCUAUUCAUACAGAUGAGCACCCCAUUAGUAUUGAUUCCAUCCUUCAAAGUAAUGAUAUCAUUGAAUACUUUAUCAAAAAAGGACAACCAGUAUACUAUUUCCAGGAUCCUAUCUCUAGCCCCAUCUAUUUUGAUGUUUGUAAUAUUUGUGAAGAAUGUCAACUAGCAGAACUUCUUGGAUGUGAAGCCAAAGAUCUGUUUGAUCUUCAAAAAGGUCAAAACCCAAACAAGUGGAAAACAGGCCUUGCAAGAAAGAUUUUCAACCACAGAAUCCUUAUGCAGAAGAUAAAGAAUUUACUUCUCUUAGAAGUAAAUUUGAUGGUUUCCAGAUACCUACUUCUUGGGUUUCAAAGCCAAAAUUUUCCAACUAGUAACCGUACUUACAGGUUUAGGGGAGCAGUCACAUGAGUCCUACGACUUACACGCUUAUUGGGCGCUAGAGAGAUUCAAACCCCAGGCCUUUAACACUUAAGUGUUAAAGGUCUUGAGUGUUAAGGGUCUGGGGUUCAAAUCUCUCUAGCGCCCAGUAAGCGUGUGAGUAGUAGGACUCAUGUGACUGCUCCCCUAAACCUAUAAGUACGGUUGUUGGGUUUCUCCUAACAACUUAAACUUUUAGGCCAAAUGGUAUCAGAGCCAGAAUGUGGGAGGGCUCAAGUGUCAAAGGUCUUGAGUAGGGAUGGCAACGGGGGCGGGUACCCGCGGGGGGUCAUUGGGGCGAGGGGUGGGGCGGGGGAUGGGGGGGAAUUUUUUCCCCCCUUUAGAAACGGGGCCGGGGAGGGAGGGGAGCCACCCGUUUGAAAAUAUAUAUAUAUACGUACAUAAUUAUGUACAUAAUUAUAUAUAUAAUGAUAUUAUCAAUUAUACUACUAAUUAUACAUGUCUAUUAAUAAAAAUUAUUACUUAUUUAUUUAUACUAAAUUUAUUAAUACAUUUAUGGUAAAUUCCUAACUACACUUAAUACAAUAACACUUUUUUCUAAAAAAAAUACAAUAAUAAUUUAGUGAUUGUAUUUGUAUCAAAAGUGAAAAUUUGAUUAUUUUAGUUAUAUUUGUUUUAUCAUAUUAGAUUGUAUUCAAAUAACCUUUGUUUAAUUAUUUUUAUGAGUUUCAAUUGUGAAGUUACAAUGAAUAAUAAUUUGGUGAUGUGUUGAUAUUUUAGUACUUGAUUAUUUGCUCAAAUUUAAUUAUAAUGAAAUUAUAUAAUAAAAUUUUUUUAACCUCACGGGUGCCCUCACGGUGGAAGCGGGGCGAGGCGGGGGAAGCUGGGGGCGGGGGCGGGGGCGGGGGGAAUUAAAAUGCAAUGGGGCGGGGGUUGGGGGAGGUGUCCCCCGCCCCAUUGCCACCCCUAGUCUUGAAUGUUAAACGUCAGGGGUUCAAAUCUCUCUAGCGCCCAAUAAGCGUGUGAGUAGUAGGACUCAUGUGACUUCUCCCCUAAACCUAUAAGUACGGUUGUUGGGCCUCUCCUAACAGCUUAAGCUUUUAGGCCAAGUUAGUACUCUUAUUGUUUUAAUUCCCAAGAAGGAUACAUUCACCUAAUUUGCUGAUAUUUGGCCUAUCAAUCUUUGUACAUUUCUAAGUAAGAUUUUUACUAAAGUUUUGUGCAAUAGAUUUAAACUGUUGCCACCUUUCUUGAUUUCUGAUGAAUAGUCGGCUUUUUGUUGAAGGAAGGGAUAUUACCGACAAUAUCUUAUUGGCUCAAGAGCUGGUGCAUUCCAUUGAUAAGAAAAUCAGAGGCCAUACUAUGAUUCUUUAGCUGACAUGAUGAAAGCUUUUAAUCGAGAUAGUUGACAAGUAUAUAUUUUACAUAUUUUUAGUAUGUUUUAUUAGUUAGUUUUGAUGUGUUUUAGUCAUAUUUUUAGCUAAUUAACUAGGAAUUUAGUGAAAGUAUGUAUUUUAUGGUUUAAGUGAUAAAAAUUGCAUUUCUAUAGAUUUUACUGAUAAAAGCUUCAUUUUUUGUAGGUUUAAUGAUUCAAUCAUCAAAUGGCAUGAUUGGAGAAGAUAAUUGGAUGAUUGGUGAUGAUUUGAAGUGAUUAAAAGACAAUAUGAAGUGCAAGAGAGGAAAUACAAUUUUUUUCAGAUUUGACACCUUGUGGUAUUUUAGCAAUAUUUUGAGCUACAAGUAUCGGAUUGAGGUGAUUCUUGAACCAUUUGGAAACUAAAAGAUAGAUCUACAUUUGGUAUGAAGACAUAGAAGUCCGGUUUGUGAUACACCGAAUGUUAGGAGAUUGUUAUUUUUGGUUUUGAUUUAAUCACUUAAAUUUGUUUUGUUUAAAGACUAGAAACCCUAAAUUCAAAAAAAAAAAAAUCCUAGUUAUUUGUGACUAAUCGGUUUUCUUAAAUCUCUCAUGUUUUAAUCGAAACCCUACUUUUUAAUGGAAUUGUAAAAUCCCGCACAUUUUCUUAAAAUUCCUUUUACUUGAAAAUUAUUACUUUAUAAUAGCCUUAAUACCCAAUCACCUCACAAUAAGUGCAAAUGAAUAUAGAAGUAAGGGUUUUCCUUUUCGUUUUAAAGUUAGCGCGAAUUAGGGUUUUACGCCUAUCCGUAGUGCGACUAUCCGGUACGAAGUGUGGAUCAAAUUGGGUGAUUAAAAGUGAGUUUUAGAUGGUAUUAAGUGUGGGAUUAGAAGUGAUAAUAAUAAGUUAGUGAAUUAUAAGUUAAAACCCUAGUAUACGCGAUUUAAGGAAAAUCGGCUCGAACCGACGGGUAUCGCUCACUACCAAUUGACCACAUCACUUGACUACCACUUCCUCACCAUAAAAUAUCAUUGAUAUUGGUGCAAAAUAUCUCCCUCAUCCUUAGCCCUCUUAGCCGAAAUAUUUGACCAAAAAAUGCAAGGAAAAGAAAAAAUUUGAGAUGGAUUUUGGUUGCGACAAAUGGCAACCAUCCCUUAAGUGUUGACCAACCAAUUUUCCUCCAUAUUUAUCAUCAAAAAAACACACAAAUUGCCCUCAUUUUCUUCCUCCUAGCCGUGAAUAAGAGAGAGAGAGAGAGCAAGAGAAACAACUUCACUUCAUCUUGAUUUGCACCAUUUGAGUGAAAAAAAAUAAGAUUUUAAACCGAUUAACUUGUAAAUUGGAAGCUUGGGAAGCUUAGGGAACUAAAAAUUUCAAGGAGAAGUGGAGGAUAACUCUAGCAAGCUUUGUUUUUGAGGUAAUAUGGCUGACCACUCUUUUCUUUUUCCUUAAUCAUGUUGAAGUUGCUUAGUAGCUUGUAUUUGUGGUUGUAAUGCUUAUAUCAAGUGAUUUUGGAUGGUUGCGGUGAUGAAGUUGAGUUAGGGUUUGAAUGAUUCACUUAUCAUACUUGUUGUAUGGGUGGUAUAUAAUGUAAAUAAGUUGGUAUAAGAGGUGGUAGGGAUAGUUUCAAGCUAAAAAUGAGAUUUAGACCUUGAUUGUAGCAAAUUUCCAGAAUUGAAGUUAAGGUAUACCCUGUUCUGCCCGGUUCUAGUUCACCAUGUUAGAGGCUGAAUUAGGCCUAGCCUAAAACAUGAAAAUUGUAUAGAAUGAUGUUUUAUAAUUGUCUACAAAAUUUCAGCUCAGUCCGAGCACCAUAUCCUGUGAAAAGAUAAAAAUACCCCUAACUGCCAUAGGUAGAACGUUAGGGACAGUUUUGACAUUUUACCAAUCUGACCGCGUCUGUUCACCCUGAUCCGUAUGGAAUUAGUAUUUGGAUAAAACAUAGAAGUUGUAUUUCUAUGUCUUAGCUUUCCAACGCCCCUAAAAUCACCUUAAUCGGACUUCGGUAGCCUGAGUUAUUGUCGUUUAACCAUAGUGCGGUUAGCUAACCUGUUUGUGAGAUUCUGGUUUUGUACAAUGGAAUUUUGACCUGGAUACACUACGAACUGGACUGAGUGGUCUUCAUCAAAGUUGUAGGCCUUUGUCUUAGCUUCGAAACGGUAUAAAUUGCAUCCCAAUAUGAUAAGCGUAGACUUGGUUGUGUCCGUUACGCAAAACAACGUCAAAUCUGUCUUUUGUUUCUUGACUUAAACUUCAUUUCCGCACAUGUUCCUAGCUUGAUUUUGUACUUGUAUGACUUUGAACCUAUUGAACGGCUAUUGAAAUGAGAUUAUUUUGUGUGUGACUUUGGGACUGUUUGAGGAAACUAUUGAAGCCAUAAAUGGCUGAAAAAUUGGUAAACACAAGGGGCAUGCCGCCAAAUUUUCACUAGAGAUAUAAACUAGCCUUUGGAGUUCUAGUUCUGUGUUUUGCAAAGUUGACUUGGAUAUACUGAAAAUUGGGUUGAGGUGUUUUCAUGGAAGUUGUAACCUGUUGCCUAAGUUUCGAGAUACUACCUAAUACAUUUUGAUCCGAUAACCACAGCUCCAGUUAUGGGCAAAAUCGUGUAACCCGUUUUGUACCAUUUUCAUUUUUGCGCACGCGCACAUGCAUUUUUCAACCAUUUUUGCCGUUUAGGACCGUUUAGGACUACUUUUGUUAUUUUGUUACCAUUUCGGCCGUUUCGGCCAAUUUCGAUAUUUUUUUGGCCUUAACGUCGUUUUUUACCGCUUUUGAUUAUUUUUGACCGUUUUCGACCGUUCUCGAUCGUUUAAGUUAUAAACUGUUAUUGUAUGGCCGUUUCACUUAUGUGCGUAUAUAAUCUGUCAAUACAGACUAUGUGGCUUUUGACGGUGACGGUCAAGCUCAGUGAAUUGUAUUAUUUUUCGUGCCAAGCUUUAUCGAGUGAGUAAUUUGGUUGUUUAUUGAUGUGAAAUUGUUAAAGUGUUUUGUAUAUGUUAAAUGGAUACUUAGGUGAGGGUGUACUUUAUGUCACUCGAUCUAAACCCAUCUUUUGUUGUGAUUUCAUAUGUGAGAAUACAUGUCUUAUGUUGAGUAUCACCCUCUUGCUGUGUGCUGAUGGGGGUGGUUACAUGAUUUGAGUUGAACCCCUUUUUGCUGUGUGCUGUUGGAGUAAGUACUUUGUUGUGUACUUUAUUAAGAGAUAUCAUCUAUUGAGAGAUUGGAUAUCUCAGGGUUUGGUUCCAACCCGGUUCCAAGGGUAGACAAACUAUUCGAACCAGCCGAGGUUUGGUCGAAGUUAGUUUCAUGCUAACCUUAGGAUUUCGUUCUUUGUUAAAACUUUGAUUAAAGCUAAGUGAUUUUGUUUCGCUCGAGCUGUUGUGUACUGUUGACUGGCCAGCGGGGGUUGAUAAGGUGAACGGGAAAAGUAAGUAGAGUCUACGGACCAUGAGUACUUUGGUUGACGGAGUGUCAACAGGCGUUUAAGUUCGGGGAAUUGAACUGGUUUUGGAGCUACCCGUAUCCUACCCUUGUGAUGUUACCUUUCUGUUAUUGAUGUGAACUAUCCUGAUUUACUUAUUUAUUUGGAUGUGAGUUUACAUUUUACCCCCUGAUUAUUCACUAAGCAUAUAACUUACCCUAUUCUAUUUGUUUUCCUUAGCAAAGGGCUGUCGCGGGGAUCGCUCGGGAAGGUGUUUAGACUUUUAGCUAUAAAAUAGUUGAGUUUGUACUUAUUAUAAGUUGACUAGUAAGAUGUAUAUAAUUGUCGUGGUGGUUGUAAUUAUCAACUUUUCUAAGGUUUACUUUCUGGUACUCGUGGUAUAUAUGAUUUGAUGUACUAGUUUAUGCAACUUUUGAAAAUGUAAUCGUUUAAAUAGAACUUUCUUUUGGCAGACCUCUAUUUUCUAGUUUUAGAGUAUCGAGUCCUGGUGCAAAUUAGGCAGACAUCCCGCAGAUACCCUCGGGUUUGCCCUUGGAAGAAGUGGGUGCGUCACACAGUUCAGUCAUUUUUAUAGUCUAAAAGUCAAAAUACAGAAGUACAACUCUGUUGCUGCAAGCUAAAAUAGAGCUCUGACCAAUCUUUGAUAUUUUGGUCAUAUCUCGGUCCACAGAGCUCCAAAUUGGAUGAUUCUUGAGGCAUUGGAAAGUUAACUCAAAAGAAAACAACUUUUAUGCUUUGAACAAGAGUUAGUUCAGCCUCCAUCAUCAAGAAAAAAGUAGUUAAAGUGUUGCCAAAUGCACAGAAGUGAAAACGCGAUUUCAUGAAAACGUGGCUCAAGUCGUGUAUUCUCACCUGAUUGCUGUAACUUGCUCAUCAACUUGCUCUACUUUCACACAACUUUUUCAACUCAAUUCUAGCUAGCAAUUUUGGCUGUAUCUGAUCAAGAAAAGGUUGGAAAGUUGGAAAAAUAACUCAUGGAAGAUUCAAGAGUCAAAAAUGACAACUUUAACGACUCUUUUUGACCUUGAAUUCUUCUAUAAAUAGAGGCCUUUGUAGAACAUUUAUACAACUUUGGAAGGCUAGAGAAACUCACCAAAAAUGUAGCUUUCACUAGAGUUUCCUUAGUUCAUUAGUUAGAAUAGUAUAGUAUAGAUAAUGUAGUUUAUUCUUCUUGUAUUGGUAGUUAGAUUUGGAUGAAGAUUGAGGAGCAAAGAUGGAGAGGUUGAUCUCAUGUGACAAGGGUGAUAUCUCUUCUACUACUUUCUCUCUUGUAUUAGAUUUCAUGUUUACCCUUAAUCAGAAUUCUCCAUUAAAACAGUCAAUAAGUACAUUAAAGUUUCCAUCAGUUGACAAGAAUUCCAACUGAUGCAGACAAAAGUAUCCCCACCAAACAUAAACUAUCUCAAAAACAUGUCCAAAUGUUUGCUACCAACCACAAUAGCAAGCACAAACUAUCUAAAAAACUACACAAAAGUUUUCCAACAAAUAUAAAGUUCAUCCUAAAAUCAACUAUCAAGUUGCUACAUUAAGUGAACUACAGCUAUCUAGAUCUUGCUUUCUUAGCUCUUAGGUUGUAUAGAACAUCAGCAACAGUAGGAUGACGAGCUCUUUUUGCCGGUGAAGCCAUGCUAGCAGCCUUGUUAGAUCCUUUCUUACUACCAUCCAUAGGUUGCAAUUAAAGAGGGAAACAAAAAAGCUAAUUAUGAAUCGAAUGAAAGAUCCUUCAUUAAUUUGGAAGUGUAGUGCACCUAAGCCAGCUUGAGAACAUGAUUGUCUGGUAGGUACAUUUUUUGCCACACUCGCAAUUGUUGGCCGUGUAUACUGCUUCCCAGGCCUGCAACUUAUUUUUUGAACAGGUGCAGCAGUACUACUUCCUUGUUCUUGAUAGACAUCUGGUUAUGAGGGCAACAUUGGUGAGGGAACUGAUGAAUCAACUGCUGAACUUGAUUCGGUUGCAUUUGCUUCAGGUGCCAACGAAAAACAAGUUCAUAUUAGUGCUGAAUUAAAGCUUUUUGAGUAAGCAGAGUGUAAAUUCUAGUUCAUGUUACCCUGUAGAAUUUACAGUUGGGAUGAAUGACAUUCUUGCAGGUCUUUGAAUUAUGCCUAGGCUGAAAACAUCUCUUGCAAUGUACCACAAGACCCUUCCUACUUGAGACUUGAAGCUUUUUAGUCUCGUCAGCUGCCCUUUGCCGAACCUUUUUGGGUCUGCCAGGCAAUCUUCGAACUGCAGGAGGAUUUGGGGGUUGUUCUUCACAUCUCACGCAGUAGUUAUCACUUGGGUAAUUUUCUCAAGUAAGUUCUCAGGUAAUUUUCACUACUAUAGCAGGCAUGCACAUAAUUAAGCAAAAGCAAUCUACAUGCUCCUAUUACAGCACAUGCAUGAGCACAGGGAUAACUUGUAAACUAGAAAUAACCACAUGUGCAAGUCUUUUCAUUCAAAUCCACCACAAUAGAUUUUCUAGAUCCACAAUCAAUUUCAUAUUUGCUCUUGCCAUCCCAUGUGGGAAUAUACAGACUACUAAAUUUUAGAUUCUUGUCAGUCUUCUCUACAAUGUUAGGAUAGAUUUUCCCUUGAAAUUUUUGCAUGCCAGACCUCUUCACUUGAAUCCUUUGCAUGAGUCUUCUUCGGAUCCACUCAAGCAUCCCUAUGAUAGGUAACUUUCUUGCUUCUAAAAUAUAAUUAUUGAAUGACUCGCAAAGAUUAUUCUCAAGAAUAUCACAUUUGUUACUUUGUCUAAAAUGUGACCUGCUCCGUAAAGUUGGGGGCAUUUUUUUCAGCCAUUCAGUUGCAUCCUUAUCUGAUCUUUCAAGGGAAUUCAUUGCUGAUUUCUAGUUCAUUUCAUUCCUAGCACUUGUAGCUACUCAGAACAAGUCUUUUAGCUCCUUUUCUUUGGACUUUUGCUUGAAAUUCUGGUACAUAUGCCUCAAGCAAAACCUAUGUUCAGAAUUUAGAAAUAACUCUUUCACUGCAUGGACCAGCCCUUUUUGUGUCUAUUUGAGAUGAAUGUAUGUCUUCCAUAUCCAGUCCCAGAUCAGCUAUUAAGAGUUCAAGGAACCACUUCUAUUAGUCAUACCUCUCCACCUCUAUCACUGCAAUUGCUAUUGGAACCAUGUUGUCAUUGCCAUCUCUACCAAUUGCUGACAACAACUGACCAUCAAAUGCAGAUUUCCAAAAACACCUAUCAAGACCAAUUAUUGGUCUAUAGCCAUUGAGGAACCCCUAUUUGGAGGCAUGAAGGCAAUAAUACAAUCUUUCAAAUGCCCCUUGUGAACCAUCACCAGGCGAAUCAAGCUUAAUCUUGACAGUGCCACCAUGAUUUGUCUCUCGGAUUGUAGCUGCAUAACUCCAAAGGUGCUGAUAUUGUUCCAUGUUUGUACCAAGCAUCUCAUCUUUUGCCUUUCUCUUUACUCUGCAUAUUGUUGGAAUGGACACAUUAAUCAUUAAAUCUCUUCUUAUAUUAUUCUAAAAUCCAGUUAGGCCACACUUCGGGUCACCUCUUAUUUUGUCUUGGUACUUCAAGCUCAAAUACUUGGCUGAUGCGUGCUUGUUGUUGUAAUCUCUAGCACACUUCGGGUCACCUCUUAUUUUGUCUUGGUACUUUAAGCUCAAAUACUUGGCUGAUGCAUGCUUGUUGUUGUAAUCUCUAGCACAAACAUGCUAUCCUUUCAAUGAUUUGAUCUGAAAGGUAGCUUCACCUUGGACUGGUGUUGCAUGAAUCCUCCAUGAACAGCCCUUUGCACACUUGGCAAUGAACCUUUUUGAGUAGUUUUUUACCUAAUCAACAUCAUAUCCAUCUCUGACCAACCAUUCUACCAACACAUAUCUAAAAACUCUAAAAUUUGAAAACUUGCGUCCAACCUUCAACUCAAAAUGUGGCUUUUUAAACUCCACUUCAGGGUUAAAGUCAAGGCAUUCUUGCUAGACACAAUUAGAUUCGCACUUGUCCAGCAAUUCUUUAUCAGAAACUACUGGUUCCUGCCAAUUCUCUUAUGGUAUAUGUGGUGUUCCUUCUGCUUUUGAUUUUUCCUCAGUAUUUUCACUGUUCCGUUCUUCAGCUUGGGAUGGAAUCUGAGAUAGCUGUUCGUAUGCAGCUUGAGAUGGAGUCUAAGAUGAAAUCUGAGAUGAGAUGUGAGGUGGAAUUUCUCCAAUAGCAUUGGGCCCUCCAGACUGCUUCUUACUUUUGCUAGACUUCUUUUUCUUAUCAGUUAAACUUUUGGCAGGGCUCUUGACAAGCUACCUUUGCAGGAAAGAAAACACAUGAUAAGGUUGAAAAUAGGUGGAAUGUAGUAUGGAUCCGCCUUCUGGUUUGUUGCACUUAUCCACAUCUUUCUUAGUUGCAAAGAUAUCCUCAUCCUCUAUUGUCUCCAACCCCUCCUUCAGCCAUUCAAGAUCAUCAUAAUCAGCAUAAUUUAUCUUCUUUGAAGUGGUGUUAUAACCCCAUCUUCUUUCUUUUUUGAAGUUUUUUUUUGCUAUUUUGAUAUUAUGUACCCCACCAUCAUUGAUGUCUGCACACUUAUUUUGGGAUGUUGAGGCAGCCUUUGUUGAAUUUGGCUCCACCACAUUAUCCCCACCAUGUUCUAGUAACUUUUCAAAAGGAUCAUCUCCACUGUAUGCAUAAAUUAUCCUUGUUCCCAUACCCCAAUGUGCUUCAUUCAUCAAUUUAACAUCAUCAUUAACCCUAAUUGGAUAUAGGCCACCAUCUAAGUCAACUGCUAGGGUACAAAACCAAAAGAUCACUCUAGUUGCUUGCUUAUCCACUUUUAAAAAUAUUUUGCAAAGGCUAACUAUUGAGAUCUCGUCUUCAACUCUAUCUUUAAAGAUGGCCAUAUGGUUCUUGUGUAGUGUGUGACAGCCUCACCUCACCCUAAGGCGAACCAAAGGGUUCAGCGGACCGCCUGCCCAGCUCUCGCCAAGACUACGAAGUCGAAUCACACAAAUCCGAUGUUACGCGAGAUAGGACCCAAAAGAAAAGAACGAUUGAAGACCGCCAAGCUUAAACAUGGGGAAAACGCUUUCAUAUAUACAUGUCGCUAGGUUUACAAUUCAAAUGGAACCAGUGAAACGAAAUACAUUUAGAGUUUGCUCAUUCUCAAGGAGCUAUACAAAAGAACAAAAGAUUUUCUAACUAGCUCAACUCGCUUCUCAAAAUCAUGAUUUCCAAAAGAGGUUCCUGUAAGGAAAACAAAGAUAACGAGGAGGGGGUGAGCUUACGCCCAAUGAGGUACCAAACAUGUAGCAGAAAAAUCAAGUAUUUCACGUUAUACAAACCAGAUAUACAUGCUCGCUAUAAAGUAAGACAGGUAAACACAAGAACUCAAAUAGGAAGGAUACAGGUGGCUCUCAGGAGCCAGCUUUCCAGCGCAGUACUUGACCCAAGCCGGUUGACUCUCCGUCAACGUAUAUAGAACCAACACGUCCGUAGACCCCACUUUACACCAAAUUCCGUCCACCAAACACCCCUUUACCGGGCCCGCUCACCUCAACAGAAACAGAAAUGGUAAUACUCGAGUAUACCGGAAUCCAGGGUCUCAAUACCCAAAGAUCCCAAAACAGACUACCGUGGUUCGUUAUCUAAUCAUCCAGGCCCUUGCCGGCCCGACUCGAAUAACUUAGCCACAGGAUUUGAGCUCAUAGGUCACAGAAAGGUCGUUGGUUACAAGUUUUCAAACGACAUCCGAACAGAUACAGAUACAGAUACAGAUACAGAUAUCAGAUACAGAUACAGAUUCAGAUUGAUACCAAGAGAACGAGUGUGAUAAAGUACACCCUCGUCUCAAACAAAUUAAACAGAUUGCAGAGCAGAAAUCAAGUUAAAUAGCAAUGGAGGGGAGUGGUACACUCACCGGCUCAACUUCAAAAGUUUUCACUUCAGAUUGGCCUUAAUCGCCAAGAAACCCUAAAAUAAUCAAAAUAAACCAAUUGAAGGUUUCAUAUCCAAAAUCGAGUAAACGGAAUGCACAAGUGAGGCUCGACUACACGUCGUACGCCUAGCCAAAUAAAUACUAAUGCAAGGGUGGAAAACAUGAUUUUCUUGGAAACGAAAAGGUAACAUGAAGACCUAGGCGCAAACAACCCAAAAGCCCUUCGCUCAAAUCACAAGUAAAUCCAACUAGCCUUCAAGUACAAUUUCGGCAGCAUAUCCCUUGUGUUUACCUAUUUUCCAGCCAUUAUGGCUUCAUUAUUUCCUCAAAUCAGUCCCAACAUCUCACACAAAAUUCAUCUCAUUUCCCAAAAGCCGUUCACUAGGCUCAAAGUAGUACAAGUACAAAAGUUAGCUAGGAAAUGACCGGAAUGAAAGCAAGCCCUAAAACAUGCAAGCAAGUACAAUGAGACUCGAUAACGAGUCAUAACCCAAUGCCAAAUAUGACCCCAAUAGGGUUCCAUAAGCAUACACAAACACUAGAGGAAACCAGAAAAUUUCGGAAAUGUAACUAGCUUUGGCCCUGAAAAAAAAAACAGUUUUUGUCCUCAUUUUGCGGUAAUGGCACCAAUUUCACUACGAUUAUCGGAUGAGGGUACAAGACCCACCAUUUCUAAGCUAAAAGACAGGGCUACAACAUCACAGAAGGUCACUCAAUCCAGUUUUGAGUGCAAACAGGUCAAAAAUGCAAGAUACUACAUCAAAAACGUAAAACAGAUUCACCAAAACGCAUUCUAGCGGAAACAUCAUAACUCAGGCUAUCCAAGUCCAAAUCCAGAAAUUCCAAAACCAGCUGAAAGCUAAGAAACAGGGAUAAAUUUCAUCAGAAGUCCUCAACAACCAAUUCGGAAUCAAUUCCAGCCAAAACAACCAAUUACAGGCGCAAUUCUUACAUUCAGGUCAAACCAGAACAGCAAUAGUAAUUUCGACUUAUCUCAUUCUACACUACUCCGAUUGACCUGAAAUUUUGUAGGCACCUCUAAAAUUCAUUCCCUACAACUUUCAUGUUUUAAGCCAAGGCCAAUUCGGCUUCUAACUAGGACCUAAAAAUUCGGGCAGAAUGCUUCCUCAAGAACCCUAGUUUUCUGAAAUUUCUUCCAAAACAGAAAUUAAUUGCAAUUGUCCACUUUUUCCACCUUCUAGCUUCAUUACAUAACAUUUCCAAUCAUCAUACAUGACCACACAAUCAUGCUUAUAUUAAAACAGAAAAUUCCCCAAAAAUAAUAAAACUUCAUCACUUCAACCACAAAUCAAGAAAUAAUCCAUAAUAUUGCAUCUCAUACCAUCACUAAUCAUGAUUUAGGCAUCAAUUAAGGGAGGAGAGGGGUUCAUCCACUACUCACCUUAGUAAAACAAGAGGGAGAGCAACUUGUCACCUUAGCUUCCCAAACAACUCCACCAAACAACUCACAAACACUAAGUGAAGAGGUUUUAUGGAGUAAAACUAAAAUUAAACGGUUAAAAGUGAAGAUUAAGCAAGGUUGGAGCAAAGAAAUUGGAGAGCUUUUCUUCCCUUAUUGCUUGAAGGUGGCCGGCCAUAUGAAGCUUAGAAAUGAAGAUAUUUUGGUCAAUUUUUGAAGUUAUUAUGGUAAAUGGUAAAAGGUUGAAUAGUAAGUCAAAACAAGAUUUAAUCAUAUGGUGACACAUGUCACCUUCAUUAAAUGUAUGCCUAACUUUUGUCUCUCUUAUACCAAUCCACUCAACCUCCUCUCAUUAAUUCUUAACACCCGAUAAAUUAAUUCCAGUAUCCAAAACUUAACCUAGUUGACCGAAAAUUUCCGAACUUUUCGCACUUGUGGGUCCCACGUCCGGUAUACACUCUUAAUUUCUCGAAACAUAUUCGAUACUAGAAAAAUCAUCUAAAAACUAUAUUUACUCAUAAAAAUUAUCUAGAAAAUUUUUCAGAUACAAAAAGUGCAGAAAACAAGCCAUUGAAGAUAAGAAAACCUAGAAAGGUAAUAAAACCUAGAAAAUGAAAAAGUUACGGGUUCUCACAUAGUGGACGGCAGGAUAUUCUCUAAAUCUCCCAUCAAAAUACAUAUGUAUGUCUACUUUUCCCUCUGAGUUAUCUUCUUAUAUUGAAUAGUUCAAGGUAUAUAACACACAUGUUUUAGUCCCCCACCUAAUAUGUCUUGGUCAUUGAUAAAACCAAAUAAACAGAAAAGCAAAAACACAUUCAAUUUUAAUAGCUAACCUUUUCUGUAUCACUAAAAUCACUAUCUCAUAUGACUGACAGAUAUAGAAAUUUAUAGGUGAUGCAUACAACUCUUUGUUAUAUAUCUAGUUGUGACAAUUAUUUGAGUCAUACUCAAAUACAAACAGAUCCUAUGGCAAAUGGAACUUUCAGAAAUUAUUUGCAUGAAUCCUAGUCAACAUAAAUAAUCACCGAUUAGUAGAGUCAUACGCAAACUCAAAAAAUCUUCCAAAAACUAGAAUAAAAUUAAGACAAUCUUUAAAUAUUGAAAAUCAAAUCAGCAAAAAAUCUCGACUGUAAACCCAAAGUAGCAGUCCCAAAACUAACAAAAUCAGAACUUUUCUAUGGUCAACACCCAUAAAUCGCACCUUGUUUAAGUAAAUAACAUCAUUAGCCUGAAGAAUUGGAAAUCAAAUAAACAAAAAUCUGAGAUGGGUAACCAACCCUAAACCCUAACUAACAUGAACGAUUAUAACAUACAUACCCAUUUGCCUUCGAUUUUAUGGAAGAAAUUUUCGUCUCGUUGUCUUUUCUUUCACUUUUCUUGCUUAAUUCAGAUCAAAAACUGCACAGAGCCAAUCGAUUUGGCUUCUCUCUCUCUCUCUCUCUCUCUCUCUCUCUCUCUUCGUAGGGUUUGAAAGAACGAAACAAAUGAUUCUAUUGAACUGUGUUUUACUUAGAUAUAUGAGGGCAAUUUUGUCAUUUCGUCAAUCCCCGUUAAGUUUAUCAGAUUCCACCAAUUUUAGAAUUUAGUUCAAAAUAUGAGGUGUCGUUUUGUACGUUUUGAAACCAUGGAAGGCUUUCCUGUGUAUUAGAUAUACUACAAGAGGCUUUUUUGUUUUUAACCCACCAGAAAAUUCAUUUUGAGGGAUAAUCUUAAAUGUAUCUAAAGUUAUAUGUAUAACAUAAAAUAUUUUAAGUUCUUGUAAGGACAAAACUUUAAAUUUAUAAAGAGCAUUCUGAGAAUUUCUAAUUUCACAAGUAAUGUAAACUAAAAUUUCUAAAACUCUUGGGAGGGGGAGGGGAAGGGGUGGGGUCUCCUCUCCUCCCCAUCCCCCGGUUUAGGCAGAAAGCUUUCCGUGUUAGUUUUUGAGAACAAGACCAAAAACAACUAGCAUUCAAUUCCUAGGAUUUUUUUUUUUUUUUGCGUUAAUUGAGAUGUUCAAUUGUGACUUGACCCGCCAUAUGUAAAUUUCAGGUAAAGUAAGUGGAGACAAAUUUGUGCCUUACACCCCAUUUUAUAGUAAGCAACCUUACUUAUUAUUAUUUUUUUUUGUCUUAGUACAUAACUUUUCACGGAACAUAAGACCUGCCAAACAAUGCACGAAUUUUGCACUUGUUUAUUUUUAUUAAUGGCAUGCCAUAUACUUCGUAUUGCACGUUGUUUAAAACUAUCUAUACAAGCAGCUGUUUCAAACUAUCUACACAAGCAAUUGUGUCGUCCCUCUAGAAAUCCAUAAAUUGCUAUAGGAGUGUGCCACACAUCAAUCACGUAAUCUAAGGUCUAGACUAGAGAAAAUCCAUGAUUGAGUGUCUCUACAAAAUGAAAAAGAAUUAUUGCUGUUUUUAAACCUGCUGUUUAAAUGUAUACUCUUCCACCAUAUUGUGUACUAAUAAUUGUGGGAACCUGCGAUCCGAUUCCCUACCCUUCAGUACUGAUUAAGGUGAUAAACAAAUUCAUUUAACUAAAUUUAUCCAUGACUGCCCAUGAAUCGAUGGAUAUGGGUAUUUUAAAUUUUUGUAUAUUGAUAUAAAUGGAUCUCCCCCAAACCUCCUCUCUUCCCCCACCCAUUUAGAAGAAAUUUGAGGCCUACAUUUGAUUAUUGAACUCAUUGUUGGAGACUUUCAUGCAUUAAUAUUAUUGAAACCUUGUAUAUAGUAGAAUGUUUUAUUUUUUUCCCUUAACAAACAUUUGAUGUAUUUUUGACGUAGAUAGAUAUCCUCCUUUUUCCAGAUUCUUUAUUUUGUCAUAAUGUUAACUACUUUUGUUUCAUUAUUAUUAUUAUUUGUUCAUUUUAUCUUAUCAUUUUAUUUUCUCGUAACUUGUUAACUUGCUCCUUUUUCAUCACUAUCAAUUUAUGAGAAGUUUUAGUCUCCUUUCCUAUCUUUCCAAAAUAAAUUUCAAAUUUACACACGAAAAAAUGCUAUGAGUUCAAAGUUUUUAUAUGAACUUUCAUGGUACUUAGCUCAAAUUUUUAUAUUCUUACUGUUCAAUUAUUAAAUAGUAUAUAAUUUGCGACAUAGAACACAGAUGGGAAAAAAUUAGUAAUUAGACUUAUUAAGCAUUAUAAGUAAAUAUUUGAAACUAAUGAUGAGUACAAUGGGUGGUAUAAAUUGAUAAUUUAGUUUGCAAAAAUAAAUUUAAAUGAAUUCACAAAAAGUUAAAAUAAAUGGGUUAUAAAUGGGUAUUUAGGUUAUUCAACUCAUUUUUUGACCUACACAUUUAUACCCAUCUAAUUAAAUGGAUAUAAAUAGAUUGACUCACCUAUAUUCAUUAUCCAUUUCAACCCACCCAAACUCGCCCUAACCACUUAUUUUGGCACCUCUAAUACUGAUUAACCUAGUUCACUUCUGGUCCUACACUUGACGACAAAGUCUUCGGUGGUAUUAAUAUUGGUUUAUUAUUUUUGGUUGCUACCUUCACGACAUCUGAUGAAUUAUGCAUCCGUGCAUGCUAAAUGACAGGAAAUAUCCAGCUCAAGACCAUUAAAGGUCCAAUAAUUUGAUGUUGCUGUUAGUGUUGGAGAAACGUGAUUAUCGUGUUAAUCAGCCUUUGUUUGAUCGUUGUAAUAAACAUGAAAUUAGCAAUUUAAUGGUAGAAGAUGCAGUGUCAAAUCAUAGGCCCGUUUUUGGUGGUUGCGGGCGAAAUUAUGUAUGAAAUGACACUUAUAGGAAUCUGUUUUAGUCUAUUCAACAACCAUACCAUUUUAAAAGGAUUAAUUUAACUUUGCAGCCUUUUAUAUUAGAAUUUUCACUUUAGUCCCUCAUCUUUAAAAUGUGGCACUUUAAUCCUCAAAAUAUAAAAUUUGUCCCAUUUAAAUAAAAUUAAUGGGCAAAUUUAGAUAAAUUUUAUACUUAAAUAGAACAAAUUUUAUACUUUAAGAACUAAAGUGAGAUAAAUUUUAAAUUUUAGUGGUUGAAGUGAAAUAAAUUUUAUGCCCUGUGCAUUAGAGUGUAUGAAAUUAUUAUUUUAAAAACUAAAAUGUCCCAUUUUAAAGUUUAAAUACCACAAUAAAAAUCGGAGCAUAUCACAAGGGUACAAAGUUGAAUUAACUCAUUUUAAAAUCCCAGUCCAACAAUUUAGCAGUAGGCUGGCUACUGAUUUCUUUGCUGUUAUACUAGUCCUGAUAAUAGUAUAUAGAGACAGUUGAUUAGUACUGAAUCCUGGGAAACAAAAAAGCAAAGAAGAAUUAGGAAUCAAGAAGUCGAGAGAUGGUGGAAGAGAAAAUAAAAAAAGAAGCAGAGGAAGAGGCUCAGGCUCAAGUGGAUAUAUGGAAAUACGUUUUCGGCUUUACUGAAAUGGCUGUCGUGAAAUGUGCAAUUGAGCUUGGGAUUCCAGACUUCCUGGAAGGCCAGGAUGGCCAAGCCAUGACACUUGAUGGGCUGUCUGCCGCCCUUGGUUGCUCGCCUUCUUCCCUUUACCGAAUCAUGAGGUUCUUAACCAACCGCGGCAUCUUUAGACAAGUUAAUCAAGGACUUGGCUGCUCCUCACAAAAUAGUACUAGCAAUGCUAUUGCUUGUAGCAGUAUUACCUAUGUACAGACGCCCCUCUCUCGUCUUCUGGCUAGAAAUGGAGAGAAAAGCAUGGCUGCUAUUGUGCUACUGGAAAGCAGCCCUGUGAUGCUUUCGCCGUGGCUUGGCUUGGGGCGACGUGUCUUGGCAAAUAGCCCUCCUCCAUUUGACACUUAUCACGGCCAGGACGUAUGGAGUUACGCGCAAAACAAUCCUGCUCACAGCAAGCUGAUCAACGAUGCCAUGGCUUGCGAUGCUCGGGUUGCAGUUUCGGCCAUGAUCAACGGGUGUCCGCAGGUGUUCGAGGGGAUUUCUUCGUUGGUGGAUGUCGGCGGAGGCGACGGAACGGCUCUCCGGACAUUGCUCAAGGCUUGCCCUUGGAUCCGCGGGAUCAAUUUUGAUCUUCCUCAUGUUGUCUCUGUUGCCCCUCGUUCUGAUGGCGUGGAGCAUGUUGGAGGCGACAUGUUUCACAGCGUUCCAAAUGCUGACGCUGCUUUUAUCAUGGUUAGUACUGUAAGGUAACUGUAAAAAACUAUCAAUUACAUGAAAGUAUUAACCAACAUCUAUUUAGACUGCUGGCCAUUACCAGAGACUUUAAGGGUGGGAAAUCAAGAGUUCAAAUUUUAACUUUCAUUAUUUGUCACAAUAUGUGAUUUUCUCAAACACGAGUAGAAGUAGGGUUGAUUCCCUGUAGGCUUAGUUGAACCUUACAAUACGAGUAGAAGUAGGAUUGAUAAGUGACGAAUAACCAAAAAAAAAAAGUGUUACCUAUUGUGGAUGCAGGCCUCACAAGUUAUCCAUUUUACUCCAUGUCAAGGUAAAUGGUCAUUUCAACUUUUAAUACACGCAAAAUUUUUACCUAGUUACAUCAUAUCUAAAUUUUUGUUACACUAUUUUUCAAUUCUGUUAUACUCAAGGGUAAACUAAUCAGAAAUGAAACUUAUAUGGCCCUGUCCACGGACUGCAAAGACUAUCAUAGCGUCAGAGGAUUAUGGUUUUGAAAAAGAAAGUGACAUUCACAUAGACUGGUCCCUCACACAUUUUGGUAGCAUUUAUUGAGUGAGUAGGCUGGAGUAUGAGAGGCAGAUGUAGGAGUACAAAUAUAACUAACCUUUUGAAAAUCACAUAUCCUUGAUAUAAAAAGACUAUAUGAAUGUCAAUAUAUAGAGGUGAAAAUUUAAGGAUAAUUGCUAUUUUCCUGCCUAUAGGUAUGUCAUAGAAAUAUGAUGCAAUGUCCAAGUGCCAGGCUAAUUUGCAAAUAUUGAUCUUAUAAAUUUAGUUAAAUACUGAGCGACUUGAGACUUGAGAGUGCAUGCAUCAAGUUAACAAUCUGGCAAUUUGGAAAAUAUAUUGACUUUAGUGUGUCUAAUUAAGCUAUCUAGAUAAUUGGCUACCGAGCUUACCAUAAUUCUACUAACUCCUUAAUUUAUGCCAGUUAAUUGUAGCACUGUGCAGCUACCUGCGUGUGUAUUGUUCAGCAAGAAUCAAGUUAAAAAAUUCAUGCUCAAUUGCAAUUCUUCUUUUUCUUCUUCCUCUUUCUAUUUUUUUUAAUCCAGUUAAUUUAUUUGCAAGUAUAUGCAUGCUUUGUUCAUUAUAGCUUAUUUUUGGGUAUGCACCACCUUUGACUUUAUUGUUUUGGAUAUAUAUAGUGGGUGUUGCAUGACUGGGGAGAUGACGAAUGUAUCAGCAUAUUGAUGAACUGCAAAGAAGCUAUUCCUCAAGACACGGGGAAAGUGAUCAUCGUAGAGGCUGUGAUAGAUCAUGAAGGAGGAGACGGCAAGCUUAAAGACGUGGGUUUGAUGUUAGAUAUGGUGAUGAUGGCUCAUACAACCACAGGAAAAGAAAGAACGUCAGAGGAAUGGGCACAUAUUCUGAACAAGGCUGGAUUCAGCAGACACACUAUGACACACAUCCAAGCUGUUCAAUCUGUAAUUGAGGCCUAUCCUUAACUUUGGAUAGACUUGGAUUUGAUUGCAUAUUCUAUGCCCUACUUUGAUUUCUUUGUUGUCCUCACGCUUGCUACUUGCUUGUGUGUGACAUAAUAAGGGACAUUUGGCCCCCCUACUAGGAGUUUGUGUUUUAAUGAGAUAGUGAAUCAUUUGGACCUUCUCGUUCACAACAUAUAAAUGACGGGUAAAUUAGACUAAUCUUACUCGCAACGGAUCUUUUGUCCUAUUUACUAUACUACUCUUUGUCCUACUUUUUAUUAUAUUGCUAUUUUUCUUCGCAAAUAUUAUAUUUUAGUUCAUUUUUGUUUCUUUGAAAUUCAAUAACUAUUAACUGAGUAAUACACAAAAUUUAAGAAGCUCAAAAAUCAAAAUGCGUAAAAAAUGAGAUUUUUUAUGAAUUUUUAGCUGUAUUUUUAAAUUUUUUUAUUAUAUAUUUCUUUUUUGAAACUGUUGUAUUUAUUUUUUAUUCAGUUAAUAGUUAUUGGAUCUUAAAAAAAUAAAAAAGAACUAAAAUAUAAUGUUGAUAAAGAGGAAAUAGUAAUAUAAUAAAAAGUGAUAUAGAGAGUGGUAUAGGAAGUGGGACAGAAGAUUCACUGCGAUUCUCACCUUUUAUUUGUUAUUGCCAAAACAAAGCGCAACGGAUCUUCUGUCCCACACCCUGUGCCACUCUCUGUGCCACUUUUUAUUAUAUUACUAUUUCUCCUAUAUAAACAUCACAUUUUAGUUCUUUUUUGUUUCCUUAAGAUCCAAUAACUAUUAAUUGAGUAAUACACAAUAUUUAACAAACUCAAAAAACCAAAAUGCAUAAAAAAUGAGAUUUUUUAUGAAUUUUCUGCUGUAUUUUUUAAUUUUCUAUUAUAUAUUGCUUUUUGAAGCUACUUUAUUUAUAUUUUACUCAAUUAAUAGUUAUUGGAUCUUAAAGAAAUAAAAAAAAACUAAAAUGUGAUGUUUAUAUAGGAGAAAUAGCAAUAUAAUAAAAAGUGGCACAGAGAGUGGCACAGGGUGUGGGACAGAAGAUCUGUUGCGAAAACAAAGUCAGAUAAUGAGCAUUUCAAUUUGUAAAGAUGGACCAUUUUCAUAUGAAAAGUUCAUGUGUUCAAAUCCUAUUGUCAAUGUAAGAAAUUUGUUGAUGAGUAAUAUGUAAAUACCCCUAUAAAUAACCCAUGGUCUCUUAAACACUUUUUAGAAGUUAUACGAGAUUGAGGAUCUUUUUUUUUGCCAUAAAUAGCAUACUCUAAUUAGGACUCCCCUAGUCAUAUUACAUAUUUUGCCUAUUCCAACAUUUUUUUUAGAAAGUUAUUUCUUGUCGCUUUUAAUUUCUCCCUAUUCCUAACUUUUAGUUUCAACACAUUUUUCCAAAGUUAGUUCUUUAUCAUUUAGAAAGUGGCCUCUGUGAAGGAUAAGGACCUUUUUACUUAAAUUUCGUGCUUUGUUCUCAAACAGUAUCUUUUGGAAAGUUGUCUCUUUUUUCUCCCCUUUAAUUUUUCUUUGUACAAGUUUCAUAUAACGAAUAUGCUUUUAGUUUCAACACAUUUUUUUCCAAGUUAUUUCUUGUUACCUUUAAUUUCUUUCUACACAAGUCUUUUACACAAUUAAACCAAAAUUUGAAUUUCCUUGUAAAUGAUAAAUAUAACUUAAAAGAAUUUUUCUAACUGGCGUCUAAUGAUCAUUCGUUAACACAUUUAGCUUACAUUUAUUUAUUAUAUGAAUACAUAUAUUUUUCGAAGUUCAUUAAACUUUUUAAAAAGAACUAAUACCUGAAACCUCUUUUAAUGGCCAUCAACCAAACCAAACAUAAAAUAGAAUAAGCAGACACAUGGAAAUAGAAGGAAAUUUAACCACUAUAAUAGUUUUACAAAUUGAAAUAGUGUUACUAAAAAACCCAAAAAAAGCAAUAAUUUUUUAUGUGUUUUCUAGCAUCUAUCUUUUUCCUAACUCCAUUGUUGUGUUUCCAAGUAUUUGAAGUUUUCCAUACUUCAAUUGCAAUUUUUUUAUUCCUGCUUAAAAAUUUUUUGUUUUAUCAUUAAAAAUAUAGGAUUGAUGGUUUAUAGUCUUCUUAAUUUUUAGGUUUGAGUUGAUCAUGCAGCAUUGGCUACUGUGAUUUUUAUUAUCAUAUGUUAGAUCUUUGUCCCCAUGAAUUAAAAUUCGGAUUCCGUCACUACCAAGAGCAUAUCCUGUAAUGGUGAUGGUGAUCGAAGUUGAGACUCUCCAAAUUUUAAUUUUUGAUAGUGUUACAUAUAAUGCUCAAUCUAAAACUAACUUCAAAUUUGAAAAUUUACACACUUUACAAGAUGAAUGCAACUACAAAGUCUGACAACAUAAUACAUAAGGAAAAUUACUGGAAAGUACUAAUACUGUAUAGAUAUUUAGGGGUGAGCAAAAAACCCAUCAACUCGAAAACCCGAGUCAUCCGAUCUGAUCCGCACCAAAAUUUAGGAUAUCUGAUCCGAUUUUUAUCAGUGGAGCAGAUGAGGGUUGGGUACCCGUAAUAUUUGGAUACAGAUACGGAUCAUAAAAAUAAAAACCCGUCGGUACCCUACUCGAGGUAUAUUGUAUAAAUUUUAAAAAAUAUAGGGACAAUUUUACAAUUUUCUCAAGUUAUUAACCCUAGAGCCUAAAUGAGUCCAUCGAUUUCAUUUCACUUUCCAAAACUUUCUCCUUGUACUCUUCAGCCAUGAGCCGACAACCGACACAUCCUCUCCUAGUCUCCUUCUCUUCAAUUUUUGUUUCACCUCAACUUGAGCUCAAAAAAGCUGCAAAAGAUUCUCAAAACUCAAGCAGGUAAAUGGGAUGAAUCUUCCAAGAAAUUUGUUUUGAACAGAGACCUUAACCUGCAGAAGAUUCAACAAUGACCUUCGAUUCCUCAAGCCUCAAGCAGAAGCCUUAUUGAUGUUGGUUGAAAUCCAGCUCUCUUUUCCUCCUCGUUUUGAGAGUUUGUCCAUGGAGUUCAUAAGAAAACUUGCUGCAAGAUUUGCGGCAAAUAUCCCAAGUAAGCAAAGAGUGGAAGAUAUACUUGACAUGCUUCUUGGAAACUUAGAAUAAUAGAACUUAGUUUGUGCAGUUGCACUUGCAGCUGCAGCAGCGCCAAUCAGGAAAAAUUGGGGAAGAAGCCAAAGUACUGACAUGUCCACCACUGCAUUUGAAGCAUCUGAAUAUCCUUCCCUGAUAGCCAGACUACGUCGUUUAGCUCACUGUUGCUGCCACUAUCAUGCCUAGAAAAGACAGGGCCAUUCCAAUUCCCAUUCUUUCCCUUUUCAGGAAAUGAACAGGCCUCCCCAAAAUUCUUGCUGCAACAGGCAGGAUUAUCUGAAGAUAAAUAGGUAUCCAUAGUACUGCACCGACAACGGCAAACAUACUACAAGAUAUCUCAUUGUUUUUAUGAUUGGGUUGUUUAAUGCCAGUUUUGAUGGCUUACCCUUCGAGCUCUAGAAAAAUUCUGAAACUGAAUUUCCUUUUCUCUUAAGUCAUGACUAGUAUUGAAGUAGGAUAUGUAAUCCUGCUUUGUAACAAUUGCGAAGGGCGAUGCAUUUGAUGCCCAAAGAAUUUCUUAAACCUAGGACGUCUUUGGAUUCAAUGCAAUGUUUCUUAGUAAGCUGUCAUUUUUUUCAUUGGUAUUAGGAGCGGGUAUCCUAUGACCCCCUUUUUUUCAGGUACACGAGGAUCAAGUACUUGAGAACAAGCAAAGCGGUUUAGGGCCAAAAAAAUAGUGAUCCAAUAUAUUAGGAUCAAGUCAACCAUUUGCUGUUCGAAGUGGGUAUCCGACCCGUACCCACCCCUAUAGAUAUUGAGUUGAAUGGAGGUCAGGGAAGCCCAAUUACUAGAAGAUUACUCUGAUGUAGGCCAACUAUACUUUCAUUUAGGGCAAUGUUAUUGCCAGAGUUAAUCAUGGAUCCAUUUGAAUGGUGUGUGUCUAAAACUUUAUACCGUAGUUUAUUAUAGAAUUUUUAAAAAAUAAUGUUUGUAUAUUUAGAUGUAUUUGGCAGAUAUUUGUAAAAUUCCAACACAUUUCACGUGCCACCCAUAACGCUACUCAUCUUGGAUAUGACACUUACAAUUAACCACCACUACCCUUCUCGCCUGUUACCGCCUCUCUCCCACACCCCCGCCCUCGGCCACCCCUCCUCCUCCUCUUUCUUUUGCCUGCCACCCACUUCCACUUCCCCUUCCCCUGCCCCUUCUCUCUCCUAUUGCCACUACCACCACCCCCUUUCUUCUCCUAUUUUUUCCCCUCCCUCUCCUUCUCUCUCUUUCCCCUUCUCCUCCUCCCUCCCCUACAUGCCACCUACGCCAUUUCUUCCCUACCACCACCUACCACCCCCUCCCUGUCUCUUCCCCUUCUCUUCUUUCUCUCUCCCAUUUAUUUUCCUUUCCUUUCCUUUCCUUUCUCCCCUUCCCUCCACCCUCCUCUCAUGAUUUGAUCUUGGAUGGGAAGAGGGGGAAGAUGUAGUGGGAAUGGGCAAAGGAAAAGAGGAUGAGGGAGAGAUUAGAAUAGGAAAAAGGAAGAGAGUGGGAGAGAGUAGCAAGUGGUGGUGGGGAAGGGGGUAGUGAUGAGGAGGAGGAGGAGGAGGAGGAGGAAAAGAGAGAGUGGUGACAAUAGUGGUGGGAUUAAUUGGGGAUCGCGCUAGCAAGAAUGGAAAUGGUUAAGGAUGGUGGUGGUAGAAAAAAAAAAAAAGAAAUGAGCGUAUUUUAGGAUGUAUAUAUUUUUAUAAAACUUAGACUUCCUAUGAAAUGGGUAUUUUUAGGAGUGUUUUUUUUUUAAAACAAAAAUUUUAUUAUAGUGAUAUAUUUUAAAAACUUCCUAAUAUAUAUAUCUAUUAUCAUUAGUAGUGGAUAAUGUUGAAUGAAGAUAAAUAUCAACAUAAGGAUGGCUUGGCAAUUCAAUGGAAUAUUUCAAAAAUUUUGCUGCUUCAAAUGGGCCCACAAUCUCUCUCUCUUCUUCUUACUGCUUUGAAUUUUGAAUUUUGAACACUAAACAUCCGCCGCCCAUGGCGGCUCUUCAGUCACCUGGAGAUCAGUCGCUGACUGAACAACCACCUGCACCAGGAAAACGAUCUUUUGCUCCUGUGCUUUAGGUCUUUCUUCAUCAUCUGAUGCUGCUGGUGUCGGGUGCAUUGCAAUGUACAGAGGUGAACCAUCUUUACAACUUUCUCGUUAGGAUGUGCUUGCAAUUUCACAGCCUUUCAAACUCUUUAGUGGGAAGAUUUGCGGCUGGAAGGCCAUCGAUGGUGAUAAUCCGAAACUUCAUUACCUCAGUAGGCCUUAAAGGUGAUUGCCCUGUAGACUUGUUAGAUCAGAAACAUAUUCUUCUUCAGCCAGUCUUGGCUGAAGAUUUUACUAGACUGUGGUGCCUCGAUCUUGGUGCAUCGACAAUAUGCCCAUGGUUUUAUCAAAAUGGACAAUUGAUUUCCGACUAGACCAAGACUCUUCGCUAGUGCCAGUAUGGAUUAAUUUGCCCGGUUUGCUUUUGCCUUUCUUCUCUCCUAAAUACUUGCACAAAUUGGGGAGUCUCUUUGGUAGGCUGCUCAAAAUUGACGAUGUAACUUUGUCCCUCAAAUGCCCAUCUGUUACUCGCAUUCUAGUGGAAAUUGAUAUUAAGAUGGAGCAAAAGACAAAGAAUUUGGAUUGGUGAUGAUAAUUGGGGCUCGUGGCAAGCCGUUGAAUUUGAAAAUAUGCCAGUUUUUCGUCAUUUCUGUUGUCGUAUUGGCCAUAAUGAGCCUUCUUGUCAUAAAAACUUUCCACAGAUGAGGGUUCCAAAGCCUCAAAAAAAGGUUUCUGAACGGCGACAUGGAAUCCAGAAAAUUUAUAUUCCAAAGGUUGAUCAGGCGAAGGAUGCCAAAUUAGAUCAACAAGAUGAUGUCCCUUUGUUAAACCCCAGUGGCUGCUUGGAGACGGAUGAGUUUUUGAUGUUAAAGGGCAAAUCUCCUAUUGUAAAUUCGGCCUCUCGCUCGGAUCCUUUGUUACUGGAGGAUGUUAUGCCUAAACAAGUUUCUAUGUAUGACAAGAAUGUUGGUUUAGAUUUGGUGGACCAAUUUAAAAUGGUUGACCGUGAAGACAUCCAUGUGUCCCUAUAUCAUGAUUAACAUCAGUCUGUCUUUGGAUCAUAUUCCAUCCCACAAUAAUUUGUCUUAUCGAGUAAAUGAUGAUCAUUGCAUUGACAGUCGGUCCAAGCCUUCUAUGAAUUUUGCAGGAGAUUUGUUUUCAGAUUCAGAUGAGAUGCCAAAUCAAGCUUCAGUUUCACCCUCCUUGCUAGAGGUUUUUAAAGCUUUCCAAGAUGAAAUAUCCGGUAGAAUUCCCCCAGUUAAGGAUGAUCAGCCUCUUUGCUCCACAGCUAAAAAACCUUGGCAAAGGAGGUAUUUAAAUUUGCCAAGAACGGUCCUUACUCAUCAAGCCUCUAAGGCUCCUCAAGAACUUACCUUUUUCUUGUCUUAAUGAUUAGUAGUCUUAUAUGGAAUUUAGAGGAAUUGCUGAUCACUCUUCUUUGCAGCGUCUUAGAAAAUUGCUUUCUAUCCAUAGUGUUUCUUUGCUGGUAGUUUUAGAGCCUAUGAUUGAUACUUCUAGUUUUCUAGAAUUUCAACAGAAGUUGGUGGUGAAUUUGGUUUGUUUAAUAUAUCAAAUAAAAUUUGGACUUUUUGGAAGCUGGGUUUCCAUGCUUCCUCAAUCGGUAAUAAUGAGCAGUUCAUACGCCUUGCAAUAUCCCAUGAUUCUUGGAGUGAAGCUGCAUUUGCCUACCUUAGUUCAUGCGAAGUGUACGCCAGUUGAACGGCAUUGCCUAUGUUUGUCUCAUAUUGCUUCAUUGAUUGGUGAUCGCCCAAGGGUAGUUGGAGGGGACUUUAACAUUAUAUCCUCUUUGGAGGAAUACUCUGGCCGUGCACCUCAGGAUUUGCAAGCAAUAGCGAAUUUUAACAAUUCUAUACUGACUGCUUCAUACAAAUUUCGGCUGUGGGUGGUAAAUAUACAUGGACUGGAGUUAGGCUUGAUGUGUGCAUUUGGAAGCGUUUGGAUAGAGUGCUAUGUAAUAGUAGCAGGCAGCGUUGGUUUUCUCAAUCAUCAAUUCAUCAUUUGAACAGAUGUUUUUCAGAUCACUCGUCAAAGCAUUUGGACUUUUUCAUUCUAUUACCUACAUCUCUGGUAUCACAAAGAAGAAUUCCCUUUUGUCGACUUGGGAUGUAAUCUUAACAAGGGCAGGCGGAAAGUGAUUAUUUUAACUGCAUUGUCGAUAAGUUCAACAAGAAGCUUGCUGGGUGGAAAACUAAGCUGCUCUCCCCUGGAUGUCGAUUGAUUCUUAUCAAACGUGUUGUUUGCAAUUCUAAUUCAUACCCUUGCAGUAAGGGAGCCUCCUAAGGCAAUCAUUCGCUAGCUUGAGAAGAUUAUGGCUGAUUUCUUCUGGUGGGGGGGGGGGGAGUUUGAAGGCUCUACUAGACGUCACUGGAUGUCUGGGCAAAAAGUCUCAUGUCCAGUAGACGAAAAUGGUCUAGGCAUUCGAAGUAUUUCAGAUAUAACGCAACCUUUAGUUGUAAACUCUGGUGGAAUUUUAGAACGUCUUUGCAACUUUGGGUUAGAUAUUUUGCUUCAAGAUAUGGUUCACAUGUCCCUCAUCCAUGUUGCAUACAGUUGAAACAAAGCGAUUCUUUGGUAUGGAAGAGAAUGCUGGGGGCUCAUCAAAUGGUGGAGGAUAAAAUGCAAUUGCUGAUUCUUCAAGGUAAUGGAUCUUCUUGGUAUGAAGAUUGGGCUGGUAUGGGCUGUCUUGCUAAGGACAAAUUGCAUAUUCCAGGAAAGCAUCUUCAGUUGAGGGAUUUGUUCAAGAAUGGUACCUGGCUUUUAACAGAUAUGGCAGGUUCUUUGUCAUUGCAAGAACAAAACAAAGUUUUGAGCUCCAAAUUUUUGCUUACUGCUGGCUGUGAUAAGCUAGCUUGGAAACCAAUGCCUAUUGGUGAUUUUUCUCUUUUGUCAGCCUACAAUAUUGUCAGGAAAAAGCAUGCUGUUUUGGUGUCGCGAAAAAUGAUUUGGAGCUUGCGCAUGCCUAGUAAAGUCUCUAUAUUCAUGUGGCGAUUACUUAAUUCUGCACUUCCAUUCUCUGAUGUUUUAGUGUCUCAGGGUUUCAAUUUACCAUCAAAAUGUCCAUUUUGUGAACAUGAGGAUGAACUCUCUCAUUAUUUUUCUUAGUGUUCCAUUGCUGUAGCUAUUUGGUAGCAUUUUAAAGAAUUAUUAUCCAUUCCUCUUUCAACAAAUCCGGACAUCUUUGGUAAACUUCAGCUUUGGUGGAGUCAUACGUCAUCCUCAGCCAUGGGGGAGAUAAUGCAAAUGAUUCCAUCCUUUAUUUGCUGGGAGUUGUGGAAAGCAGGGAACAAAAGGAUCUUUGAAGGAGUCCUGGUGUCAGUCAGCCAAGUAGUCUUUUUCUUUUAGGCUUUGAUUUUGUCUGAAGCAGCAGUUCAUCCUUUUAUUGCUAUGACAAAGGAGGACAAUCUACUUGUUGCUCGCGGGAUUAUAUCUUCUAGUCAGUACCCAAAAAGAUUGCAAGGAUUGGCAAUUUGUUAGGAGCUUUCGCCGCCAGUGUUUGUUAAGCUUAACGUAGACAGAUCUUCACUGGGCAAUCCUGAGCCUUCGGGUGGUGGUGGUAUAAUUUGCAACCAUUUUGGUGAGGCUUUACAUGCAUUUUCGUCCUUAUAUGGUCACUGUACAAAUAUGGAAGCGGAAGCUAAGGCCCUACUGGAUGGAAUUAAGCUUUGUGUGACCUUGAGCCGAGUUCUUGUAGAGUUGGAUUCACAAAGCUCUGCUUUAGGCACUUUCUCAUGCAAUGCCUCAGUGGAGAAUUGAUUGACAAAUUGCAGAGAUUAAAUCCAUUACAUAGGCUGGUGAGUUCCAAUUUUUGCACAUCUUUCGCCAAGCAAACUCAGUUGCAGAUGCUCUUUCUUGAUUGGCUAGUUCGACCCAAACCUCUUGCAUUUUUCAGGGAUCAAGGCUUCCAGCGCAAAAUCAUUGCUUAGUCUCUUUAGAAAAACAAUGUGUGCCAUGUGUUAGACUAGAUAAACAAUAGCAUUUUUAUUCUGUUCCAUCAAUGUAAGGGAGUAGUACUCCUUAUUUAUUGCUUUAACUCGUAAUGGAGGUUAGGUCUAUGUUCCCCUCCAUGUUUUAAAUCUUGUUUUUGAAUAAAAUAAUGAUUGACAUCCUUUUCCCAUGUACGGGGUUUGCAUUGAAAAAAAAUUUCGAAAUAUAGAUCAUUUGUUUAGGUGUUUUUGAGGAUGCAUUUUUGAAUAUUUUUAAAAUUUAAAAUUUUAGUGGGAGUGUGAAUGAAAGAAGAGAGAGGCGGUAGUUUUUUUUGAGGUAUAUUUGAAGUUGCAUGUAUUUAGAGUGUUUUUAGGGUGUUUUUAGAGUGUGCUACUGUACACUCUAAAAACAAAAAUAAAUUUGCUCAAAACUUCACGAUUGAAGCAGAGUCUAAGGUGUUUUAACAAGCUCCCAUUGUUAAAGUUAGAAAAGACUUUUGUCUCAGAAAAACCAGGGGUGCCAAACGAAUCCCAUAUAAUGCCAAACCAAUUUUUCUGCUAUUCACAAAAUUACCCUCAAAAUGUCAGCACAGUUAAAUUUGCUUGUUUCCUUUCUCUCACCUCUUCGCACCAUAGUCUCCCAUUGUCUUUUCCUCAGUUUCUUAUCUAAAAUCAUCAACCAAAAUUUUCACCAAAAUCCUCACUUUAUUCACCCAAAGUAUUCACCAAAUAUGGGGAACCCAAUAGGCAACAUGCAGGGAUACAAGAAUUGUUUAGGUGCAGACGGAUGGCCUUUUUCAUCAAAACUAGUGAAGUUUAACACGGGAAUAUAAUGAAUUUACGCCCCGAAGUGGAUGAUUUGCAUGUGGUGGCUGGUACAUGAUAUCGUGGACUUUUGGUGUUUGCUUUUUUUUUUUUUGGUUUACUAUCCGAUCUUCCUGUGGAGUGUGUGCUGGUUUUUUUUUCUUUUUCCUCAAUUUAAGAAUUUGGCUGUCCAAACUUUAUACUUGUGAAUGAAGGAUGAAUUUGUAAAGGUAAACCCAUGCAACAAAAUUUUUUGCACUCCAGUCUUUGGCAUUGCCAUGCAAGCUUGGUACAAUGUGGUGAUUCCUCCUUGUCUUAUCUUAAGUUUUAAGAAUUAGAAAGGAAAAAAAAAACUUUUUAAUACUAUUCAGAGGAAGUGAAGGAGGUUGCAAUGCAUGUGGUGAAGGAGAGUGAUCUACGAGCAGAGCAGAUCGGGGAAUUAAAUCUGUGGUGUGAUCCGUGUUAUCCUGGGUCGAUAAUGAUGAGAACAAAAAUUAACAAUAACAUGGCCAUUGUUUGAAACAUUUCAUAAUUUAUAGAUUGUCAUUUUAAUGAAUCAUAAGUUCUAACAUCACGAGACGAAAAGAUGAAUCGAAGAAGGAAAUCAUUUGAAAAAUAUCAUUGGAUUUCUGUAAUCCUUAGAUACAGUUCAAAGAAUUCUACAAUUUGCAAAGAAUUGUAAAUCAACUGUUGAGAGUAUUUAUUGACUCCAAAAGAGUUACUGAAUUACAUAACUUGCUGAAAAUUUGCCAAAAUAUUGUUCUUAUUGUUACUGUCAAAGGCAUGGGAAAGAGUCUAUUAUGUUAAGAAUCCGGAACUUCGUCCAGAACAAAUGACACGGUUCGACCCUAUCUUGGAGUAUCGGACUAAGAAGAAUGUUUCUAAUGUUAGUGUUUCGAUGGAGGUUCACAGGGAAGUUCAGGUUUCAGAACUUGAUAGGGUAUUUUUAUUACACUACAAAUUUUAAAACCUUUUAUCCUAUUUUCGCAAGUGCACGGUUCAUUCAUUGACUAUAAGGAUAAUAAGUAUCGAUCCCACAUGGAUUUAAAAUGUGACAAUCACUUGACUUUAAUUACUUGCUUUAUUAUCUAGACAAUCAAAGUUAAGAAAGUAAAAGUAAAGAAAGUUAACAAGUUGGUAAAACCGGCCAUGUAAGAUGUUAGUUUAGGCAGUACAACCAACCAUAUGAUAUAAGUAAUGAAUAUAAAACUGCCCAUUAGGUCAUAAAUCAACCAUGUAGGCAGUAUGUUGCAAGAAAAUAAAUAGAUGUACAUAUAGUGGGAAUAUGGGAUACAUAUAAGGGAAAUGUUGUGCAAAAUGAAAAAAACCCUAAAAGUAGAAAAUAUGCAUGAAAUGUAGGGAUUUUGUCACACAAAUAUGAUCUAACGCGAGAACGGUCCCUAAGGGUCUAGCACUGGACUAACCCAUGUUUAUAAGUUCUCACUAGUAUUGGACUAGUGAGAAAUCGGAAAGGAGGGCCACAACUAGCGUUGGACUAGUGUGGAAUCGGAAAAAAGGUCCACAAUUAGCGUUGGACUAGUGUGGUGACGUCAUGCAUUUAUUAUAAUCAAACAAAUCAGAUAAAGUAUAAUAAAAGCAGAUAAACACAUUGUGAGAACCCAGAAAAAAAUUAUUUUAGGCAUUAUUUUUAUUCCUGUGCACCCGUUUUUUUUAUAUUUUAUUUUUUAUAUUAACUUUAUCGAUAUUUUACCAGUAAAUAUAGUUUUUAAAUCAUUUUUCUAAUAUAAAUUAGUUCAUGAGAAAUUAGGAGUGUAUAUUGGACAUGGGACCCGCUAGUGCAUUAAGUCAGAGAAAUUCGGACAAUUAGGUUAAAUUUUGCAUAAAGGGAUUUAAUUACUGGGUGUUAGGAGAUAAUUAGAGGUGACCUAGAUGGAUUAACUGUGACGACCCCACCUCCCCCUAAGGCGAACUAAAGGGUUGGCGGGCAGUCUGCCCAGCUCUCGCCAGGACUCACGCAAACAUUCUAGCCCAAAUCCUUCCGAAGAAUAACCUGAUCUAUUACAAAACAAUUUUCUCGAAGAAGACCGUCUCAAAAGCCACAUUAACUUCAGAGAUAACAGUGAUUUAAAAAUAGCCAAUCGAGGCUCUUACACGUCCCACGUACUACAUGCCAAGGUAUAAGGUCGUACCAAACCGGAUAGAUAAUUACAUACAUCACUAAUACAACUUACAAGCCAAACACUCAAAUUAGGGUUUACACAUUUUCCAGCUUCAAGUGGCAAUCCAAAAUGAAAGUACAUAAUUCCAAUUAACGUUAUUACAGCCCCACAAAAUAAGUCAUAGUAUUCAAAUUCAUUCCAAAAGGGAAACAUGGGUAAGAUGCAAAGCUUUCAAUUCCAGAACCUGUUAAGGAAAACAACUAAACGUGGAUGAGCUAAAGCUCAGUGGUGCCCAGAGCAUGCAAUCACAUAAGGCAAAUAACGAGUAUGAAUUCAAUAAGUAAGAAAGCAUUAUAACAGCACAAAGUAGGAUACAGGGGCUCUCAGGAGCCAAAAUUCCUCGUUUGAUCUGAAACCACCGUAGUUGACCCUCUGUCAACUCUCACUACUUAUGAUCUGUGUAGAGUAUCUCAUUUUGUCUCCUAACCCGUCACCAUUCAUACCCCUAUCCCGGGCCCGCACAUCAACUAAGGGAGCAGUAUACUCGAGAUAUACCCUCAGGAAAUUAGGAGCAGUAUACUUGCGUAUACCCUCAGGAAUUAGCAGUAUACUGUAUACCGUCAGGCCUUCUUGCGUACCAGGAAUUUUGGUCGAGGGAUUCACCCAGCGACGUCACAACACAUGGAUUCACUAAAACAUUUCACGCAAAUCACCACUCGAACGGCUAGUGUGAUAAAGUACACACUGCUCGCUUCGAUGGAUCAGAAACCAUUUUUGCAAUUACCACAUAUCAAGUCAAGGAAGCACUUUAUUCAAGUAGGCAUAGAACAAGCAGGGACACUCACCAGGAGUGUAGUUCAGAUGUCAAAUUGGGAAUCGAAUUCCGCGUCCUCGCAAUAUCCUAAAAACCAAAUUUGAAACUAUAAGUUCUCUAUUCAAUUUUUAAGCUUAUUCGUAUAGAGGAUUAUCUAAUAAUAUAUUACUAGUUUACUUCCUCAAAGUAAUUUCAAAAAUCUACUUAGGCUGAGACUUGACAAAAGUAGAGAAAAUGUUUCUUAUAGUUUUCCUUGAGAUAUUUUUCCUUAUGAAGGGUAACUAGUAUUAUUUUCUUGAAAUAAGUCGACAAUCCACUAAGGAUUAAAACUGGUAAAAGUAAUAAAAUAUUCGUAUAGUUUCCUUAUAUUACUUUUCUUUCUAAAGAUGUAGCUAGAGCUGUUUACUUGAAUAAGUUUGCUUACCGAACAAGUCUUCUAUGCCUUUUGCUUAAAACUAUUGAAAUCUCGCGUUUUUAACGAGUUUCUCAAAACAACUAGUCAGGGGCAGCUUUUAAGGAAUGAAAAGAAAAGUAAGCUAGUACCUAGGAUUUUAAAACAAAUGAAAUCAUUUUCUAAGAAAAGUACUAAAGCUAAUAUAAGCUUAAGAAGGAAUCGUCGAGUCGGCAGCGUUUAGAAAAUCCUUACGCAAGAGUUUCUACUUAAAAGUACGAUACUAAGUUUUAUCGUUUAAUGCCAAGCACAAGCUAUGUUUAAGUAAUUCCCCUGAAACAUUCUCGAAUUCACAGGGUCGAAAUGAAUUUCACAAUUUCGAUUCCACUUCGAAAUCACAUUGUAACUCAGGUUUGCCAACACAUCAAAAUCAUAUUUCAAUUGCAAGUCACUAGGGCUUCGUCAAUCAUUAGCCCUAGGUUUCAAUAGAUUCAUUUCUGAUCAAGAAUAAAAUAAAUGACCAAGGCUUCAUCAAUCAUUAGCACUUGGUUUUGGCAAGCUCAUAUUACGUCUCAACUAAAUCAAAAUGAAUGUAAGGCCUCCAAGCAAUUCCAGAAAUUAACUUUCAUCACCCUUUAAUACUUGUAUAAAAUCAUUCAAAUGGCCAAGGGCUUCAUCAAUCAUUAGCCCUUAGCAUCCAACAAUUAGUUCCUAUAGCAAUAAGGCUAACAUUUCAAAUGUUUAAAUUUACUAACAGGUAUUUAAAACCAAGGACCAAAUUUGCAACAACCUCAUACUCAAGUAUUUGAUCCAAAGCCAAGAAAUUCCAUCCAUAAUAUCACAUUGUCACCCCAAAAUUCAAAUGCAUGACCAUCUCAAGGUAUUACAAAACGAAUUCAACAAUAAUAUAAUUUUUCACAGCCCCAAAAUCUAUAAAGAAAUUUAUAUGUAAUUCUUUAUCAAACGCGACUAAGGCUGGAAAAUUUUCCAGCUUAUAUCCACAGCUACACUUCACUAAUUCCAAUUCAAUCUCCCAAGAUAUCAAGAGUUUCACAUCCAUAUAUCUUAUAAAACUUUAAAACAACUUAUUCCAGGCAUUUCCAAUCAUUAUGCUUCAAAGAAUAAUUUCACAACCAAACUGAAAUUCCAACUCAACCUUUGGCUACCACAAGAAAAAUUUCCAGCAUUUAUAUUCCAACAUUUUUGGUUCAAUCUUUCAAUGUAUCGAAUUUUUCAUCGCAUUCCAAGGGAAAUAAGAUAAAAUCCGGAAACCAAUCAUAAUUUCCAAAAACAAGCCUCUCGGCUAUCAAGAUUUUCCAGCACUUAGAGGUUUAUAAGUCCAACUUUUCCUUGGCUAAAGCAUGGUUUUAGAUUCUCAAAUUCAUCAUGUGAACCUUUGGCUAACUAAUUAACAUUUCUGGUUCAAAAUCGAAUUCGAAUAACAGGUUCAAACAUCCCAAAAAUUCCAGAAAUCUGUCCAGCAAGCUACGGAUGAAUCAUGCCUGAAGAAACUUUCAGUUUUCAUUUUAUUUUCUUGGUUAAAACAUGCUAUUAAACUCUCAACUUCCUCAUGCAAUUACUUAGCUAAACAAUGAACAUUUCCAGUUUAGAAAUCGAGUUCAAAUAACAGCCAUUAACAUCAAAAUUCCUAAAAAUUAUUCCAGCUUGGCUCGGAUGAACUUGCAUGAGGCAGGUUGCAUUUUGAUUUUAUUUUUCUGGUUUAAACUAAUUAAUUAACUACCUGCAGAGCCUAAUUAACUUGUUAUUAACCAGCUAAUUGUGAUUAUAAGCUCAAACAACAAAAUUAAACCAAAUCAAGCUGCAUUAAUCAAGUUAAGCUCUCGGCAGUUCCAUCACUUGCGCAUAACAGAAAUUCUUCUUUUCUUAAUUCCAAAUCCGGCUGCUUAAACUCACAUGCAUGUUCCUAGAUGACUUAACCGUCUUGUUUUUAGUUGGUUAAACAUUUAAUUGAGCUCAGAUUGUCGCAGGGAAUCAGAAAUGAUGCUACAUUUCCAAACCAGUUCCUCGGCAGAGCCAUUUAGCCAAAACAGAAAUUUUUCUAGUGACUUAAUUUCAUCAUCCGACUGCCCAAAUCAACAUGCAUGGUCUUAGUCUUCAAGUUUUCACUCAGCUAAUGACACUUAGGUGUUCAGAUUGCCACGGAAAAACAAAAAUGGAGCUGCAUUACCACCUCAGUUUCUCGGCAACAACAUUUCAUCAAAACAGAAAUUUUCUAAUGGCUUGAUUUCAACAACCGACUGCACAAUCCAAACAUGCAAGCUCUGAUAUAGCUUCCUCUACUAGUAAUCAACUUAAUUAGUCCAGAAAUUACCUCAGAUAUUAGCUAAGCUCACACACGAAAAUUCCAGAAUUUUCUUUCCUUCCUCUCGGCUUCAAGCGCAGGUCGGUUGGUCCUGGUUCCUGAGUUGCGGCUUGAGUGGGGUUGUGGUGAGGUUGAGUUCGGUUGGUUGGAGUUGGAAAUGACCACAGCUAGGAGAGAAAAGGGUGCGAUGGUCUCCUGGUAUCUUCUCUCAGCUUACGGUCAGAACAGAAAGAAAGAAAUGGCAGCUUGCGUUCCCUCCUCCCUUGCUCUCGGAUGCAGCUCACAAGGUAACUCUCUCUCCUUUACUCUCGGUCCAAGGCAGAGGAAGAGCUGAGAUGCGGUUGUGGAGAGGAAGUGUAGUGGCUGCGGUGGAAUCGUGCAGAGGAAAUGGAAUGGUGAAGAGUGGCGGUAUCUCGGUAUUAAGAAGGAAGAGGAAAUGGUUUGCGAGGAGUUGUGAUAUGAAUUGGAAAGAAUGGUAUAAGGUGCCGCUGUUUUUGGAGCAGAGAUUGCGUGUAAGAAUCGGUUGCGUAUAGAAUUGGUGAUAAUGUAAUUGGUCGAUAGUUGCGGUGAUUGAAAUUGCUGUCAGAGGGUUUGUUUGGUUUGCAUGGAAAUGUAAGGGCAUUUUAGUCUUUUCACUUUGCUCCCUAACCUCAACUUAAUUUCUCAAUUCAACUUAAUUCUAAAAAUUAUCCCCAAGUGUGAUUUGAACGCCUAAUUAUACACUAGUAUACUUAAACCAUUUUUAUCGAAUAUUUAACGAUUACACUUUAAUAUUAAAGUUCCUAACAUUAUUUAGCGAUUAAAUUAGUUAUCAGAAUUUCCAAUUAUUUAUUCUCAAGAAAUAGAGUUAGUUUAACUCGAAAUUUAUCGAUUUAGUAAUAUAAAGUCAAGGAAAAUAAUAAUUUAAUACAAGUGUGUCAGUUUGCACAUAAAAAUUAUUUUUACGCACUUAUUGUAAAAACAAAGAAGGAUAAGACUGUAAUUAUCGAAAAUUUCACGCCUUAAGUAUGUUUAGCAUACUUGUAUAAUAUUUAUCUAAAAUUCAUUGGUUUUCAUCUUAACGCGGAAAUUCCUAUUAACAUUUGACAUUAGUAACUAAUUGGAAUUAAUCACUGGAAUUUAAAUAAUUUGUUUUAAGAUAGUAAGUUUAUCGACUCAAGUGUCAUUAAUUUCGCAUAAGAGAAUUUAAGUAUUCUAACAUUUUAUGCUAAGGCGAAAAAUUUAAUCUAACUCUAAAGAUAUUAAUUUAGUUUAACAAAACCAAGAAAUUUCAUAAAUUAGAAAAAUUAUAUUAUUUUUCACAUAAACCUAUUUUUGCGUACUUAAUUGCAAACAAGUAAAAGUAAUGCUAGAAAUUAUUAAGGAAUAAAAGAAAUGCAAAUGAAAUAUGCACUGGCUUAUAUAUAUUUUCAGGGUUCUCACAUCCUCCCCUCCUUACAAAGAAUUUUGUCCUCAAAAUUCACACUUUCUAAGGAAAUAAAUCAGGGUACUUUUUCUGCAUUUCUUCCUCCCAUUCCCAAGUUGCUUCCUCAAGUCCAUGAUUUUCCAUAGAAUCUUUACCAGAGGAAUUUCCUUAUUCCUCAUCUCCUUUACUUCUCUUUCCAAAAUCUUGACUGGUCCCUCUUCAUAUGUUAACGUCUCAUCCACUUCAAUUCCCUCCAGUGGCAGCACAUGACUUGGGUCGGAAUAAUAUUUCUUAAGCAUGGAAACGUGAAAUACAUCGUGAACCUUAGCCAUGCUUGCGGGUAACUUCAGCUGAUAUGCUACAUUCCCAAUUCGCUUCAAAACUUCGAAAGGUCCGAUAUACCUUGGCUUUAGCUUCUUACCUCUCUUAGACACUACUCCGCCCUUCAAGGUUUUAAUUCUUAGGAAGACCUUGUCUCCUACUUCGAAUUCCAAAUCUUUCCUCCUUGUGUCGGCGUAGCUCUUUUGUCUACUCUGAGCGGUUUGAAGCCUUUCUCUAAUUAGUUUCACUUUUUCCUGGGCUUCUUCUAUCCAAGGUAUCGCUGUUGGAUCUAAAAUCUUCUUCUCUCCUAUUUCAUCCCAAUGAAUCGGAGAUCGACACCUUCUCCAUACAAAGCUUCAUAAGGUGCCAUUUGAAUUGAGGCUUGAUAACUAUUGUUAUACGUAAAUUCUACUAAGGUCAUAUAAUUACUCCAUUUACCUCCAAAAUCCAAUAUACACGACCUCAGCAGAUCCUCCAAAGUUUGAAUUGUUCUUUCCGACUGCCCGUCGGUUUGGGGAUGGUAAGCAGUACUAAAUUUCAACUUGGUCCCCAAAGACUCCUGAAAUUUUGCCAAAAACGCGAGACAAACCUUGGGUCUCGAUCAGACACAAUACUUACAGGGAUACCAUGUAAUCUUAGGAUCUCUUCUGUGUACAACUUGACCAGUUUUUCCAAAGAAAAGCUCAUGCUUACGGGUAGGAAAUGUGCAGAUUUAGUGAGUCGGUCAACUAUUACCCAAAUUGCAUCAAAUCCUUUUUGACUUCUAGGCAAUCCUGUUACAAAAUCCAUUGUUAUAUGUUCCCAUUUCCAUUCAGGGAUUUCUAACGGUUGCAACAAACCAGAGGGCUUCUGGUGCUCAGCUUUGACUUGUUGGCAGAUCAAGCAUCUCUGUACAAACUCUGCCACGUCCUUUUUCAAACCUUCCCACCAGUAUAAUCCCUUCAUAUCAUGAUACAUCUUGGUCACACCUGGGUGUAUAGUAUACUUCGAUCGAUGUGAUUCUUCUAAAAUUUCUUUUCUUAUCUCUUCAUCUGCGGAAUCACAAUUCGAUCUCGAAACCUCAAUACACCUUCAGACCCUAAUUUAAAAUCUAGGUUUCCCCUUUUUGCACUUUCUCCAAAUUCUUCUGAAUUAUAGGGUCCAUUUUCUGGGCCUCCUUAAUACGCUCUAGUAAUGGUGAUUUUAACGAUAAGUUCCCAAAUAAUAUCUUCAGUUUCUCCAAGCGAGGGUUCCAACCACUUAUUUCUUCUAGCAUGUCCCACUCUUUAACCAUUAACCCUGCUACUUGGGCCUUUCUACUUAGAGCGUCAGCUACCACAUUAGCUUUUCCUGGGUGGUAGUUAAUUGAAUAAUCAUAAUCUUCCAGAAAUUCUACCCAUCGUCUUUGUCUCAAAUUUAGUCCUUUUGGGAGAACAAAUACUUGAGGCUCUUAUGGUCCGUAUAAACCUCAAAAGUCACACCAUACAAGUAAUGUCUCCAUUUCUUUAAGGCGAAAAUCACUGCUGCUAAUUCUAGGUCAUGAGUUGGGUAGUUUUGUUCAUGAGGCUUCAAUCUCCUGAGGCAUAGGCAACACUUUACCAUUUUGCAUUAAAACACAUCCUAGACCUUCUCCAGAAGCAUCGGAGUACACGGCAUAACCUUCUCCUCCGUCAGGUAACACCAAAACAGGAGCGGAUGUUAAACGCUUCUUUAAUUCCUGAAAACUUGACUCGCACUUCGAAGUCCAAAUGAACCUAUUCCCUUUCUUGGUUAGCUCGGUCAUGGGUCCAGCAAUCUUCAAAAAAUCCUUGAUAAAUCGCCUAUAAUAACCUGCUAAACCCAAGAAACUUCUAACUUCAGUUGGAGUUUCUGGCUGCUUCCAAUUCAUAACGGCUUCUACUUUUGCCGGAUCCACGGCAAUUCCAUCUUUGGAAACCUUGUGCCUAGAAAAGAUAUUUCAUCCAGCCAAAACUCGCACUUGCUGAAUUUGGCAUACAACUUAUGCUCCCUUAAUAUCUGCAAAACUAUCUCCAAGUGCUUAACAUGUUCCUCUCGAGUCUUAGAGUAUAUCAAGAUAUCAUCGAUGAAAACCACUACAAACUGAUCCAGAUACUUCUUAAAGACUCUCUGCAUUAAAUCCAUGAAUGCCGCUGGUGCAUUAGUUAAACCAAAAGGCAUGACUGCGAACUCAAAAUGUCCGUAUCUCGUACUAAAAGCAGUCUUGGGUAUAUCCUCCUUCUUAAUCUUCAACUGGUAAUACCCUUGUCUCAAGUCCAGCUUAGAGAAAACUACUGACCCUUGCAGUUGGUCGAACAAACUAUCUAUCAACGGUAGAGGGUAUUUACUCUUAAUUGUAAUCUCAUUUAACCCUCGGUAAUCGAUACAUAACCUCAAGCUUCCGUCCUUUUUCUUAACAAAUAGAACGGGUGCUCCCCACGGUGAAUCACUUUCCUUCACAAAAUCUUUCUCCAAUAGAUCUUGCAGUUGAAUUUUCAACUCCUUUAGCUCUGCAGGAGCCAUUCGGUACGGAGCUCUAGAAAUUGGAGCCGUUCCAGGCACCAAGUCAAUCUUAAAUUCCACUUCUCUUUCCGGCGGUAGAGUCUUUAGCUUUCGGGAAAAACAUCCGGAAAUUCUCGUACCACUUGUACAUCUUCUAACUUCACUUGAUCACUGGGAGCAUUAAUCAAGAAGGCUAAGAAACCUUGAGCUCCUUUUGACAACAUUUUCCUCGCCCGUAUCCCUGAGAUCAUAGCAGAUGAUGCUAACCUACUCUUAACAUCUAACCGCAGGGUUGCUUCUCCAGGUAUACAAAAUUCUACCACUUUCGCUCGGCAAUCAAGCUUAGCAUGAUACUGGCCUAGGAAAUCCAUUCCUAUGAUAACAUCGUACCCUUUUAUGUCCAGGCUGAUUAGAUCCACUAGCAUUUUACGCUCUCCAAUCCAGAAUUCACAAUUCUUAUAGGCUAAGCUAGCAAUUAUCUUCUUAUUACCCAUUGGUGUCCUAACUUCAAGAUCGAAGGGUAAUCUAACAGGUUGCACAUCUAUUCCAGACAUAAAAGAUGGAUUUACGAAUGAAUGAGUUGCACCAGGGUCAAUUAACACUUUAGCUAAUCGAUGAAAAAUGGGGAGAGUACCUUCCACGACUUCCGAGGAAUCAGGUACAGGUUGGUCAUCUAUAGCAUACACUCUGGCAGGAACUGUCGGCCGGCUCCCUCCAGAAGUGUUUGGUCUAGCGUUCGAAGUAGUCCCUUCCUGCAUUUUUGGACAUCCAAAAUUUGGUGCUCAUUACUUCCGCACUUCAAGCACUUUCCUUGCUUCUCCAGCAACCAUCCAUAGUAUGGCCAGGUUUCUUGCAAUAUGCACAGGUCACUUGAGGAAUUAUUGCUCGACCUCCUUGCGAGUUAUUCCUAGGUUGUCCUCUUCCAAUCGGUCCCACUCUAGCUCCAUUAUUUUGUCCCCCUACAUUCCUUGCCCCGGUUCCUCUUGCUUGAGCGCCUCGCGGUGCUCCAGGACUAUUCACUCCACUGGUUCCUCGGCCCACUUUGGCCGGUGGAGCAUUUCCAUACGUCGGCUCCCGACUACUGCUAGGAGCAAAUCUUUUCUUGGCCUGAAAAGAUUUCACUUGAGCCCUAGCUACUUCAACUCUCUGGGCUUUCUCGACGACAUCUGCAAAAGUAUCUAUCCUCACGCAGCUAAACCUUCCUGUAUUUCUACAUUCAGACCCUGCACAAACCUUCUGACUCGCCUUUGCUCCGUGGUUACCAAUUCAGGAGCAAAACGGGAUAGCUUUGUGAACUGGACUUCAUAUUCGGCGACACUCAUCGCCCCUUGCUUACAUUUUAUGAAGUCAUCCUCUCUCUUUUCUUGGAUGAGAGGUGGAAGAAAUUUGGCAUUGAACUCCCUUGUGAAGUUCGCCCAAUUCCUUGGAGUAUGAUUCCUGUCCCAGUUAAUCCUAACCAGAUUCCACCAGGAGCGAGCGGCUCCCUCAAACUGGAAUGCGGCGAAAGUCACUUGCCGCUCUUCCGAGUAGUUUAAAGCUGCGAAGAUGUCGGAGAUUCUCUCCCACCAUCCCUCAGCUACCUCCGGUUCGGGUCCUCCGUAGAACUUAGGAGGUCCAAACUUCAAAAACCUUUCCAGUGUCCGAUCCUCGGAAUCGGCUGGGCCUCCUUGGCGGUGCACUGGUCCAGAGGCUUGGUGUUCAGUCAAACGCUCUAAGACGUCAGUAAUACGGUUAAUAGCGGUGGCCACUCCGUCUCCGGCCCCGCCCUCUUGCCCUUGGUCUCGAUUGACCUCGGGUUCCCUGUCACCACCCGCUUCCGGGUGCUGUCUAGUGGGUCUCCCACGGCUCCUUCCUACUACUUGGCGAUCCAUUGCCUAAUUAUGCCUAUUACUGAAGGGUAAGACAAUUAGGCAAAAAUUUUAUUUAUAUUCAAUUAUUAAUAUUCUUUAUGUGAUUAAAAUCAACAUGGAAAUGGAGGAAAAGGGAAUGAAACACUUAUCAUAUAUUUCCGCGGAAUAGUCAUACAAUUAACAAGUUGGAACAUUUCCAAAAGUAAGGCAUAUAAGUUAGCAAAAAUACAUACAGAUAAUUCCCUUAAACAAAAAUAAGGGAUAUGGUGCCUCGGAAGCAAGUCAUUCACCUAGACAAAAUUUGAUGACUUGACUAAUGUCCCUUUUCUAGUCCUACAUACCUAGUACUAUCAAGUCAACCUAACCUAGCCCUCAGCAGGGCUAUCAGGAGCGACGUCCUCAGCCGGAUCCUCCUCUGGAUCCUCCUCUGCGCCUGCCUGCUCGUUACCCUGAAGGUAACUAGUGGCCUCGUCCACUAGCAUAGCGGCAUCAGCCCUGAUGCCAGCACUCCUAUCACGGAUCCCUCAGCUAGUCGGGUCACCCUAGACCUCUGUCGCUCUAUCUCCAAAACGAGCAGCCUCCAGCAUAUUAUGCUCAGCAGUUAGCCUAAUCUCCAAAUCGGCUAUGCGGUCGAACUGGGUAUCCACCAUGAUACUCAGCUCCUCCACAUCCUGGGUCAAGGUGUGGUUAGCGUCCCACAAGUGGCGGCGCUCAUCAUCAAGGGAUAACACCAAGGCGUUGGAUACGCGUAUAUGGCUCUACACUGGCAUCUAGGGUGCCUAUCAGCAGGUGAGUAUCGAACUCGGUCUCCUCCACCUCGAGGCCUAUAGGAAAUGGAUCUCUGCGGCUCUACAUGUCCAUUAGCCGCGCUACUACCAUUAACAUGUCCAUUACCAUUCUCCAUACCUGCAAAAUAGUCAAUACUUAAAGGUUAGAACUUAAAUAGCUAACUGAAUCAGAUAUCACUUAAGGUAUAUCUAAUGGUCUCAAUUCUUAUUCCUAGAGAGGAUUAAGGUCUCUAACAUAUCUAAUAUAUCUUUCAAAUAACUUUUCUAACCUAGGCUCUGAUACCAC
This 77353-nucleotide long non-coding RNA is filed under the name Coffea arabica (coffee). Its description in RNAcentral is "long non-coding RNA (CARA_LNC003404)". The record is from RNAcentral. Lineage: Eukaryota; Viridiplantae; Streptophyta; Magnoliopsida; Gentianales; Rubiaceae.